UCAUGUCUUGUUUGUUUAAUAUGUGAUUAUAAUCCGACAUGAUUUGGUUCCACUUCAUCAAAAUCCUAAUGUCUUUUCUUCCUUUUUAGCCUUUUGCUUUACUUUUUGAAAGUGAUCGCAAUGAAUCGAGCCCACUAGCCCACAGUACAAAAGACAACCAAAUCAUUUUUUUUUUUUUUUUUUGGCAGGUAAGGAGAACCAAAUUAUUUAUGGGCUGUUUUUCCCAUUAUGUGUAUGAGCCCAAUGGACUAGAAUGUUCAGCAAGAAGUCCAGCCCUAAUUAGAGUGGGAUCAUCCCAACCUAGAGUUGUCAAACGGAUCGGACCGGCCCAGUACAGUACGAGCACGGCCUACUUAAGUAAGGCCGGCUUGACAAGGUCCGUAUUUUUUAGCCGUACCGGGAUAAGAUAAUUAGGCCCAAUGGGCCGAGCCGGCCCAUUUAUUAAAUUAUAUUUGUAAUACAUAAUAUUAUUAUAUUUAUAUCUUAAAAUUCAAGUAUAUUUAUUUUCUCUAAUAAUAUGUAUUAAAUUUUAUGUUUUCUUUAUAUAUAAAAUAUUAAAAUUUAUGUUUUCUUUAUAUAUAAAAUAAUAAUUUUAUUUUUUAAGUUUUAAUUUUUAAAAUCUAAACAAUAAUGUAGUCAUUUUCCAUUUAAAUGUACUUUUUUUUUCCAGUAAAUAUCAUGAGGUGUCUCCACAUCCGAAUGGUGGGAUUAAUCCCCUCUCGGGGUUAGGCUUGCCCCUAACCGCAAAGUGCUUCCAACGGGUUUCGAACCCCUGCCAUUAAGCCAUCAUGUAACUCGCCAGCUGGAGGUGGCAGUUUGCCAACUGCACCACACCUUGUAGUUUAUUUAAAUAUACUUUAAAUAAAGUUAUUGCCUACUUUUUUCAACAAAUAAUAAAUCUUGUUAGUAUAUACAUAAUUAUUAACAAUAUUUAAAUGAAGUUGUAAAAAAAAUUACAAAAAAAUAAAAUGCAAUACAUAAGUUAAAUUUGACAUAGGCCCAUCUUGGCCUGUUUAGUGGCCCACACGAGCACAAUCUGAGUCUAUAUGAGCUUGGCCCGUGAACUUGGAGCGAGAUUGAUGAUUUUCAUAAAUAAACGGACCCGACACAGCUUAUUUUAUUAAAUGAACUGACUCUAAAUGAGCCGAGCCAGCCCAACACGGCAUGUUUGACACCUGCCCACCUGUGAAUUGAGAACUUAUACUUCAUGAUCCAUCUAGAAAUUAAAAUACUUUUUUUUUUUUUCCAUGGGUGGUUUUGAAUAGAUUGAAUGAUAACAUGGAAGCUGGCGAAUGGGCAAAUAUAUACAAGUCCUAUUUAAGGAUUCAAAACGACAUUGGAGGAAAUUAGGUGAGCCCUCAGUGAUGUUUGUUUUGAGGCUGACCUAACACUCUUAACAGCUUUGAAAAAUAUUCCUUCACGUCAAGUCUUUGAUUGAGAAGCUAAAUUGAUCUCUACCUAUUUUCAAGAAAAAACACCUAUUUGCUUACCAUCAUUUUUCACCAUCAAUUGCAAAUUUCUUCAUCAUCCUCUCCCAUUACGAUCUUUUUACUUAAAGAUUACACCUCAGCUAUAGGCUACAUUUGUCCCCAUUAAAAAAUGAUUGUAAUUUUUAAAGGAAAAAAAAAAACAUGUGUUUACGUAUCACUACCUUUAUCGAAAAUCAACACCAUUUGUUGAUUAACUAAAUCCAAGUUGAAUGUUGUAGGCUAAUAGUAAUCAUGUUUAUUUCGUUUACAGCAUUAAAAUAAAGAAAAUCAAAAUAAUCAAAAGUUGCUUUCCACAUAAGUAAAUUACCCAUACAUGAAAGAAAAAGAAACAAAUGAUGAGAAGGAAAUAUUGUUAUUUUAAUGGUGACAUGCCCAAAACACCCAAUUUAAAAUCAUUCUACGUAAUAUGAACAACAUGGUAAUCAUUUAUAAUUAGUUGAAAAUAACUAGUGUGAUGGGACAAGUGAAUAUUGGACACGAGGAAUUCAUCAUCUUCAUGCUUAGGUCUUACUCGAAAAAAGUAAAAAAAUAAAAGAUAGCAAAUCACUAAUGCUGAAAAAGAAUGCAAUGUGUCUAAGAAUGUUUGUAAAAGUUAUACAAAUCUAAUGCUUAAAUUUCAAUCAAAAUGAAUAAAUUAGACAAUUAGUAUGUGUUGGAGUAAAUUACCACGAGACUUAAAUCUCACGCCAAAAACAAAAAACAAAAAAUUAACAAUAAUCAUGCAUACUUCCAGCAUGUGCACGUGUCAACAUCUUGUGUCGUUUGCGUUUUACAAGCCGAUACGAAAAGAUGAAAGAACGAUGGGCCUACGUAUGCAUGUGUAUCAAAACAAAUUGAUGGCCCAUGGCGUGGAAGUAAAGAGCCGGUGAGGUCGACCCACGUGGCACAAUUUGCAACUUCACGCUGACGACUGCCGGCUGCCCUAUCAACAAACUUAACCGCCCCAACCCACCACGUCAAAGCCCACGUUGAUGUUCCACGUCAACGUAAGAUUAAGUGGAAUGACGAAAGUAGCCAUGUCCGAACACGAAUAUUUGACUUUUACCCUGAAAUAAACGGAGAUGGCUGGUGUGAAUAGUCGAACUGUUGUAGCAUGGGUUUUGAACGUUGACUUGACUGAACCGACGAUUUCGAGCCAAACUCCAAGGGGACCAAACUUUUUAGUAAAACUGUGGAAUAAAUAUAUUUAAAUAAUUGUUUUAAAAAAAACAGGGGCAAUUUAGAGUAAUUUGACAAUCUAAGGACCAGUCAAAUAAUAGAAUCUUUGGCCCUAAGAAAAAAAAAAAAGAUGGUUUGGUAUUCAUUUGGUAAACCUCUUGGCAUGGCAACAGAGAAUUUAUAAUACAAAAUUUUGACAUCAAGAUAUCCAUUCAAAUUUGAUGUUCACACGCGAAACCUUUCAAAUCAAUUUUAAAAGGAAAUUCUGUGAUACGCGAAACCUAAGUCGUCAUUGAUUGGUAGAUCAUAAGUGGAUAUGCCUUCCCAUUUGGAGAUCCAUCUAAUUUUGUAAAUACUAAUUGUCCCGUCAAUUUAUGAGGAUUUAAUACCAAGAUUAGAAAAUAAUUGAAAUUAAGAUUAGAUUCAAGAUAAAUAUCUAGAGAGAAGAGAGGGAAAUCAUCUAGAAGGAAGUUCAUAAUGUAGUUGUGAAUAUCCAUUUUGUGACCGUCCGAUCAAUCUAGCGCAGGGAAGCACACAUGUGAAUGACUUGAGAGUUACAUUUGAUCUUGGACUAGAAGUGGUUGUACAACGUGUGGAUGAUGUGAUGGAAUACAGAGGAUUACAACUUUACGUGUCAACGAGGUCCAAAAGAGUCGACUCAAACUAAUCCGAAGAUUUGAUAUUUUUCCACCAAACUUCUCUUCCUUGCCGUCCCACGUUUCAUACUUGAUCUUCUUCUUAAUCGACCCGACCUUCUGCUCUAUAUAUACCCACAUGCUUCUCAACUGUCCUUUAAGAUUUACAUACAGAUAUUACAUAAACAUAUACUAGCUAGGAAAAAAUAGGAUAAGUAUAGUUGGAAGCAGAGCCUCUGUGAAUCCACAACAAGGAGAUGGAGAACAGGAACAGCAACAACAACAACAGACAGAGGGAAGGCUUUGAGGAAAUGGGUUUUCCUGUUCACAGUCAAGUGAGAAAGAUCAAGCAAGAAUCCGAGAAAAUAAUUGAUUGGCUGCCGGGAAAGCCAGAGAUGAGACCUGUCCUUGGAGAGAUCACCAUGACCAGGCAGAUCUCUCGAUCCCCUUUGGGAAUUUCUUGCUGACCCAUCUCUGUUGGUGACUCUUAGGAGGAGUCCUCGUUUCUUGGAGCUUAGCGAAGAUGGGGGUUUUGGUGGAUGGUCUAUGCAUCUCUCUAGAAUUGAAAAACAGAGGGUUUUGUUCUGUUUUUUUUUUUGUGGCUCUUGCUCCCUUGUUUUCUUUUUUCUUUAUCCAGUACUUUUUGGCCAUGUUCCCCUUGUAAAUAAUACAUAUUUUAGUUUAAUGAUAUGGCAGUCUUGCUCCUUUUUGAAUUUGGCUGUCUGGUCUUGAGGAUCGUAGGUUGCAGAUUUGAUUGUUUUCAUAGAAUAUAAAUCAGUCAAGAUUGAUCAAGUAGGAAGCCCACCAAUCUUGUUGUGUUUCACUUUUUUCUCUUAUUUAGAAAAUAUGUACAUGUUGAGGCAUAUACACUUUAGCAAACAAUACAAAGUUGUUCGCUCUUUGGUGAUCUAAAGAUAUAAUAGAAAUCAUGUGUGCUGUUGGGUUAGUAUCUCAGAAAGUACUGAUCUUUGGACGUUCUUGGUUCUUGUUGUACAUUUUUUUUCUUCUAUGAAGAGGUACGAUUGGUGUUUUCUUUUCAUGAUCAACCAAAAGGUUGGCGCCAUAUCUGUGUUUGGUAGCAAGAAAGUUCAAGUUUGAUUGAGUAUUCUGGAAAGACUAUACUUCGGGCAAUCUUGAUUGUUUGUAUGCGCUAGGUUUUAAAUGAAAGGUCAAAGUUGCUGAUGGGUCUCUCCCAACUAAUAUUAAAAUAUAUACUUUAAAAUGUUAUGUACAAAACAAACCUACACUAAUAUCUUAUGCUGAUCACCAUCAUUGACCUGUUCUUUUUCUAUUUUUGAACACAAAUUACUAGUGAUUCUAUAUUUUAGUUACACCUAACAAUUCAACAAAAUAGCCUGAGGGUGUGGAGAUUUCAUGACACGUUUUUUGUGUAUAUUAGCCCGAGGCGUGGAUGGAUAUUGUUAACAACUUAAAAAGACUGCAAAUUUGCCGCAAACGCAAGCUUUUCCUCAAGAUAUUAUUAAGACAGCAGUUGCAGAUGGUAGGACCGCAUACCAGUCUGUGCAAUCUCAUUGUGUUUAUUAUUAUUUUUGGGAACAAACACAAUUGCUUUUGGCACCAAAUAAAUAAUAUGCAGUGGUAGCAGCGCUGCACACACAUCAAUGCACUUCCUUCCCUUCUCCCCUCCCCAAAAAUGGCUACAAGCCUGCAAAGACUUUCAUAAGCUAAAGUAAAGCUUCCGUGUCCCCUGCAAUUUCGGCUAUUCACGUGUACAAAAUGCCAUCAUCAUCAUCAUCUCUAUCUAUGCAUGUAAUUUUUUGAAAACAACAGUUUUCCAUUUUUGUGUUUGAAAAACAACAAAGUUUGAACUGCAAUUUCAUGAAGAAUAUCAUUUUUGGCUCUUCCAGUCUCUGUAAAUUUAGGUUAAGGGUGACCCUUUUGUAAAUAAAGUUGUCUUUUGUAGUUUUUGUACUAUCACCAGACAUUAUCACCAAUUAUUCUCAAAGAAAAAAACAGUAAAACCAUCACAAAGGGAAGAACAUUGAUCUAAUUCCAAUCACUUUAAUGUCAAAUAUUAUUGUUGUGAUCCAGUAUUGGCACAAUUCAGACAAGCCUUCUCCAAUCACAAGGUUAAACACACAACUUGUGGUUUUGGUUGCAGGUGGAAGAGGAACACAAAAACCAGAUACAAUUUAUUCAUUUCCACUCCCUCACCACCCCGAAAAUGUAAGCCUAUGGUUUCCAGAGAACUGUAGUUUCAGCAAUCAUGGAAGUGACAACAUAAGGAUCCAUGUUAGAAGCAGGCCUCCGAUCCUCGAAAUAGCCUUUCCCAUCUUUCUCCGUGUCCCUCCCAACUCUUAUGGACGCUCCACGGUUUGCCACUCCCUGUCAAGUCUCAGUUCUCAACCCGUUAAGCAAAACAAAUCAAUGCAAAUGCAAACAAGGUGUAUAAUAAGCUCAAGUAUGUUAAUUUACCCAUAUGAACCUCUGGAUGUCUGCUGUUUCAUGUCGCCCAGUGAGACGGCGCUCGUUGCCAUCCCCAUAAGCAGCAAUGUGUUCCUUGUGCCUCAACCCAAGCUUUUCAAUUGCCUUUUUGAUAACUUCAUAUCCUCCAUCGCUUCUCAUGGACUUGGUGCUGAAGCAUCACAUCCCAUCAAAACACUUUCCAAAAUGACGAUGAAUGAAAACAAAAGCAAGCAUAAUAUUUCAAGUGCUACCUGUAGUUUGUGUGAGCACCAGCCCCAUUCCAGUCGCCCUGGUCACACACACAUACCCUCAAACUCAAAUGAAGCUAAAACAAUACAGAUUUUAAGCCAACGAAAUAAUAGAAAAUUUGGAUAUCUCUUCUGACCUCAAUAGGUUUGGGAUCAAAGGAAAGCACCACUCCAGCUAUCUCUGUAAUCCUCUGUAUUGACAGUACAUAAUAACGUAUCACAUAUGAUUUAGCACAUUCAUUGUAGAAUUAUACCAGAGAGGGAAAAAACAGUUCAUUUGGGUAGGUUUAUAAAUUAUAGUACCUCCAAAAUGUAACGAGCAGCCCAUAACUGAUCUCCAGCAGAGAUGCCAACAGUAGGUCCAACUUGGAAUUCCCACUAUAUGCAGUAUAUACAACAGAAGCAAAGCAAUAAGCUAAAUUUAAGAGAAGAUUUUACACAAAAACGAUAUGCAUGUGUAUAUGUAUAUUAACCUGGCCAGGCAUAACUUCACCAUUGAUGCCACUGAUGUCGAUGCCAGCAUAAAGACAUGCUUUGUAGUGAGAAUCUACAACGUCACGCCCAAAGGCCUUAUCAGCUCCAGCCCCACAAUAGUAUGGCCCCUGCUUUUAUUUUAUUUUCACAAAAGAAAACGAAAACAAAAAAACCAGUUACAUCUUCACAUAAACAAGGAGAUUCAUACUUGAUUGUAAAGUAAAUAUUACAAGAUUCAUAUGAUAAUUUGUCACCUGUGGUCCAGGAUAUCCACCGAGAGGCCACCCAAUUGGCCAUUUUACAUCUUUCUGCAACAAAGUAUACUCCUGCUCUAAUCCAAACCUGUAUGUUUUACGUUCAAUUAAACCACUCAAAGAGAGCAAAUAUAGAAAUGAACCAACUGCAAACAGAAUCAAGAUUGAAGAUGGAUGGUAGAACUUAUCACCAGGGUUCUUCAGCUACAACAUCAGGAUGGCUAAAAAUCUUUGCAGCAUUAGCCCUCUUAUUGGUUGGAAUUGGCUCUCCAUUCGGGGUGUAUGUAUCACAUAUGACCUUCAAGUAAUUAAUAAUCAAAAUUCUUUAACUUUAAGAAAUAACUAAAUGCAACUCUACUGCGACACAAUAUUGCUUCCCUUCCUAAAUGGGUCCCUGAAACUUGUUAAUUAUUCAAAGCAGCGGGGACUUACAAGAAUAUUGUUGCCCCUCCUAAAUGGGUCCCUGAAAAUGGCUUGUGGACUAUAUUUAAAGCACCAACGAAAGCAGUUUUCAUUAGUAAGACUUGAAAAACAGAGUGAGGGAGGGAUGAAAACAGAGAAAAACAGAGAAAAACAGGGAGAAACAGAGAAAUAGCAUACUAUAGGAUGACUUCACUGUCUUUCCCAGGAGCUUGGCCAGUGCUAGAACCGUCAUAGUUCCACUUGGGAAGCUUUGAGGGAUCGCUAAGUGGUGCAGGAAGAGUCUGCCUCGUACAAAAUCAAAUUAGUGCAACUUUAACAAAUUAAUACAUAUCAUCUGUUUGUGUGUGUAUCGAUUUAUCAGGAAAUGAAUAAGUAGAGAGAAGUUACCCUGGCUUUGCUUCUGAUGUCUAUACCAGACCCACCGAUCCUGUUUUAUGAUUAUAAAAAGAUUAACCAUACCAAAAUCAGUAUACUCAUUUAAUUAUCACCCCAUUGGAAAAUAUAACCAUACACAUACACAUGACACAAGUAACACAACCAGGAUUGAAAAAAUUGCUAGUUGAGAAAGAAAGACAUGCUAAAACAGAGUUUUUAGUAACUUAUCACCAUAGACAAGAAAAAGAAAAAGAAAUCUAGAAACAGAAAAACAUAGACAAGAAGAGUAGAGAGGGAGAGAAGGAAAAGUGAGAAACAGAGAGAGUGAUUGGAAUAAAAGUAAGCUUAGUGCUAACCAUAUGUACUCUGCAAUAAUCUUUUCAGUGUAAUCGGAGAGGUUGAGGUUGAGAAGAUCAGUGAGGAGCAGAGACAUUUUCACAAACAAAAGCCAAAGGAAAGAAAGAAUGCAAGAUAGGAUGAGGAAGAGAGAGAGUUUGAGAUUUUGGCUUUUGGCUCUUUGCUUUGCUUAGGGGUUGAUAAAAUAUAAUGAUAACGUAUUUUUGUGAAGAAUGUAGCAUAAAUAGGAGUGAGAGAGUCACACUCUUCAGAAAUACGAGUUGAGUUGAGUUGAGUUGAGUUGGGUUGGGUUUGAGUUGUAUUAUUUCAUAGUGCACUCUUGAUGUUGAGAAUUCAUUACUACGUCCGUGACACGGAAAAAAAAUAAGCAACAGCUUAUAUUUAAAUAAUUUUUUUUCUUUAUUUUCCAAGCCUAACAUAUAUGAAAAUCUUUUUACAAAGAUCUUUGUUUUAUUAUACCAAAAUAUCACCACACACAAAAAUUAAAAAAACAAAAACAAAAAAUAGUUUCUUUAGUGUGAAAUAAAUAUCAUAGAUAUCAACCGAAAAAGAAAUUCUAUUUAAAAAUGGAAAAUUAGCAUCACUAAACUAAUAAUUAAUUAUGAACGGCAGGUGCUGAGAGCUGAAUGAAUACUGUUUAUUUACCUGGACACCUAUAAACACAAUGCAUUGCAUGCUAAUGAAAAUUUAGCAGACCCGUUUCGUUUCAUCUAAUAAAUAAAUAAUUAAAUUAUGUCCUAAAUAUUAUUAAUUAAAAAGAAGAAGAAGGAAGAAAUAAUAAAUAUGGAAGUGCAAUUUGCAUCACACCACAUGUCUACUCGAAAUUCUGGAUUUCAGGGUGAGCAAGUAAAGUUUAUCCAAGCUAGGUAAACUAGGUCAUCAUAUUUGAGAUUGAGAUUCAGACACGAGCUAAAGAAAGUUGCAAAUGAAGUUGUUGUUUUCCUUUGUUUUACAUUUACUAGAAGAAACCAAACCAACACCACCCUUCACGGGACGGGUUGCAUUGCAGGCAUCUAUCAGAUAUCUAUCUAUCCUAUUCCUGGAGAAGAGUGAAGGGUAGACAGAAAACUAACUAACUAAUAAGAGUCUAGGCUAAGGCAUCUAUCUACGUUUAAAAGUUCCAAACUGAAACCAAUACAUCAUAAGUUGUUGUGGAAUUUGAUUUGAUGACAUACUUCCCUAAGUCUUUUCCUAAUAAGAGUAGGUUCUCAUCUGUUCUUGCCCAAUUCUCCUAGUGCCGGCGAGGCUACUGCAUUUAUUUAGUGAAAUACACUUUGUCAGUUUGCAAGCCAAUUUGAUUCUUUUCUUUUUAUUCCUUCGUUUGGAUGGAAGGCACUUUGAUUUGAUUCUUUCAAGUCCUACUAGCAAACGGAUCGCAUUUGUUAUUUUCAUGUCAUUCGACUUUUUUACCCUUUAGUUAACGGGUGAAAAAUACCAAACACUAACACGACCUGUUGAAUAACGGGUAUGGAAGUGGCUGGAUAACGGAUAUUCGCAGGUCAUGUAUAAUAUUGCAAGGUCUACUUUCAAAUAAUUGUUCAAGAAAGCCCAUGAGCAGGUCCGGCCCAAUGAAGAAAAGGCAUGGGCCUGUGCGAUGGAUUGGAUGGUGUGACUGGCGGCAGAGUGGUGUGGCGACCACGCAAAUACUUGGAGAGGACUUUAAACAAAUGGCAGUAAACGAAAGGUCAGAGAACACGCGAUUGCGAUUUCGGUGACGAACUACCCUCACCGCCUUCCCCUUUCGCUUUUUCGUAACCCCCAAGCCACAACUCUCUCCCCUUCUCUAUAUAUACCCUCCUCUCUCUUUUUUCUCUGGGUCUGGGUCUGGGUCUGGGUCGGUUUCCCUUCUGAGACAAACCCAACUGCAAAAAUAUCCAUCUCAUAAAAACACAAAACGGGGACCCACCAUACAACAACAGAAAAAAGGAAAGAAAAAAAAAGAAAGAGAGAGAGCAUUUUUAACACCUGAGGAAGGCUAGAGAGAUACUCAGAGAAGUGCCGGAAAAUCUUCUCUCUGUUUCUUAUCAGUUGGGACUAUCCGAUCAGGUGAUUUGCCUUUGCUUUUGUUUCCUCAUAUUGUUUUCAUUUCAAUUCGAUUUUUAGUUGUUCCUGCUUUUAGGGUUUUGUUUCUUUGUUCGGAUAUGUUGGAAAGUUUCAAGCUUGAUUAGGAUUAGAAAGUAAUACGAAUUAAAUUCGUUUUCGGACAAAAUUUAAGAAUUCACUUUGGUGCAUCUCUAUGGGUAUGGCCGUAGGGCUUUAGUUUACUAAACUCCUGGAUGUUUAGGGUUUUGUGUUUGUUGAUUUUUUUUAAAAAACUAAUUGAUUUCUAAUCUGAUUCAAUUGUUUUUUUGAUGCAGUUACUGCAAACUUUUGUGUUUGUGAAUCCCUUUGGUCUUUGUUUGGGUUCGAUCAGCCUAUUUCGGCACCCUGUCGGAGAAUAGGAGGCUCGAGGGUUCGGUGGUUUCGCAGAAUAUGAGUUCUCAGGUCCCAAAUGAGCGAAGGGAUAGGUCCAGGUUUCCUGCUCAGCCUCCUCAGCCCGCUCAGUCUGCUCGUCGAGAGUGGGUCCCAAGAGGAUCCAACCCUACCACUGCUGCCGUGAACCCACCUCCAAGCUUCAAUUCAAACAUCCCGAAUGGGAAUGUAGGACAGCCCAAUUAUAGCUCUGCUCCAUCAGAGAGUCGGCAGCAGCACAGAGGAAAUAAUGCUUCUAGAGGUCAUAUGGGUCGGCCAAUGAACCAUGGAAGGGAGAGGGGAAGGAGCGAGAAUCAGGAGGAGGUUAGAUUGAAGGACUCUAAUUUACCUCAGCUUGUGCAAGAAAUUCAGGAUAAAUUGACAAAGGGCACUGUUGAAUGCAUGAUAUGUUAUGAUAUGGUGAGGAGGUCUGCACCUGUUUGGUCUUGCUCAAGCUGUUACUCAAUUUUCCAUCUGAAUUGCAUCAAGAAAUGGGCUCGAGCUCCCACUUCUAUCGACAUGUCUGCAGGGAAGAAUCAGGGAUUUAAUUGGCGGUGUCCUGGAUGUCAGUACGUACAGCUUACAUCCUCGAAGGAGAUUCGUUAUGUUUGUUUUUGUGGUAAGAGGACAGACCCGCCUUCAGAUUUGUAUUUGACACCACAUUCAUGUGGUGAGCCUUGCGGGAAGCAACUUGAGAGGGAUGUCCCAGGCAGGGGUGUGAGUGAGGAUGAUCUUUGCCCUCAUGUUUGUGUCUUGCAGUGUCACCCGGGUCCAUGCCCUCCUUGUAAAGCAUUUGCCCCGCCACGUUUAUGCCCUUGUGGAAAGAAAGUAAUUACCACAAGAUGCUCAGACCGGACGUCUGUUCUAACUUGUGGCCAGCAUUGUAAUAAGCUUCUUGAUUGUUUGCGUCACCAUUGUGAGAGAACUUGCCAUGUGGGUCCUUGUGAUCCUUGCCAAGUUCUGGUUGAUGCUUCUUGCUUUUGCAAGAAAAAGGUGGAGGUUGUUCUUUGUGGAGACAUGACUGUGAAGGGGGAGGUGAAAGCAGAAGACGGUGUUUUUUCUUGCAGUUCCACUUGUGGAAAAAAGCUUACCUGUGGUAAUCAUGCCUGCGGUGAAGUUUGCCAUCCAGGCCCCUGUGGAGAGUGCAAUUUAAUGCCAACGAAGAUUAAGACAUGCCACUGUGGGAAAACAAGCUUGCAAGGGGAACGACAGAGUUGUUUGGAUCCAGUUCCAACUUGUUCACAAACAUGUGGCAAGUCCCUCCCUUGUGAGAUGCACCAGUGUCAAGAGGUAUGCCAUACUGGGGAUUGCCCACCUUGUUUGGUUAAAGUGAGCCAGAAAUGCCGUUGUGGAUCAACUUCUCGGACUGUGGAAUGCUUUAAGACCACAAUGGAGAUUGACAAGUUUACUUGUGAUAAGCCUUGUGGGCGGAAGAAGAAUUGUGGAAGGCACCGUUGCAGUGAGAGGUGCUGUCCUCUUUCUAAUUCGAAUAAUGUUCUCUCAGGGGAUUGGGAUCCUCACUUUUGCUCUAUGCCUUGUGGGAAGAAGUUAAGGUGUGGGCAGCAUUCUUGUGAAUCACUUUGCCACAGUGGCCACUGCCCUCCCUGCCUUGAUACAAUCUUCGCUGACUUAACCUGUGCAUGUGGGAGGACUUCAAUCCCUCCUCCAUUGCCAUGUGGUACACCUCCCCCAUCAUGUCAGCUCCCAUGUUCAGUCCCUCAGCCUUGUGGGCAUUCAUCUUCUCACAGCUGCCACUUUGGAGAAUGUCCACCUUGUUCAGUGCCUGUGGCAAAGGAGUGCAUCGGUGGGCAUGUCGUCCUCAGGAACAUUCCUUGUGGGUCGAGGGACAUCAAAUGUAACAAGCUCUGUGGGAAGACAAGGCAGUGUGGUAUGCAUGCUUGUGGCAGGACUUGUCACCCACCGCCUUGUGAUACUUCCUCUUCAGUGGAACCAGGUACAAAAACUUCUUGUGGACAGACAUGUGGUGCUCCUAGGAGAGAUUGCAGGCAUACAUGUACUGCACUAUGUCACCCGUAUGCUCCUUGUCCUGAUAACAGAUGUGAUUUCCCCGUCACAAUCACUUGUUCUUGUGGCCGGAUAACAGCAAAUGUUCCUUGUGACUCUGGUGGCAGCAAUGCUAGUUUCAAGGCUGAUACUGUGUAUGAAGCUUCUAUUAUCCAAAGGUUGCCAGCACCACUUCAACCAAUUGAAUCAACGACCAAGAAGAUCCCACUUGGACAGAGGAAAUUUAUGUGUGAUGAUGAAUGUGCUAAGUUGGAGCGGAAACGGGUUCUUGCAGAUGCUUUUGAUAUAGCUUCUCCAAACUUGGAUGCACUCCAUUUUGGUGAGAAUUCUGCUGUUUCUGAGUUGCUUUCAGACCUUUUUAGACGUGAUGCCAAGUGGGUAUUAUCUGUGGAGGAGAGAUGCAAGUACUUGGUGCUUGGCAAGAGCAGAGGUCCUACAAGUGGCCUCAGAGUUCAUGUUUUCUGUCCAAUGCUGAAGGAGAAGAGAGAUGUUGUUAGGAUGAUUGCUGAAAGAUGGAAGCUUGCAGUUCAAUCCGCUGGUUGGGAGCCCAAGCGAUUUAUUGUGGUUCAUGUUACGCCUAAAUCCAAAACCCCAGCUCGGGUGAUUGGGGUUAAGGGUACGACGACAGUGAAUGCACCCCAGCCUCCUGCUUUUGAUCAUUUAGUAGACAUGGAUCCCAGGCUUGUAGUUUCUUUCCCUGAUCUGCCGAGAGAUGCAGAUAUUAGUGCACUGGUCUUGAGGUUUGGUGGGGAAUGCGAGUUAGUCUGGUUGAAUGAUAAGAAUGCAUUAGCUGUAUUCAAUGAUCCUGCUCGAGCAGCAACCGCAAUGAGGAGGUUGGAUAAUGGUACACUAUAUCACGGGGCUAUUAACGUUCUCUCAAAUGGCAGUGCAUCUGUGGCAUCAUCGGGUUCUAAUGCUUGGGUUGGAUUGGGGACAGCUAAGGAAGGAGUGUCUACAGCGCUGAGGGGUAAUCCAUGGAAGAAGGCUGUCAUUAGGGAGCCUGGUUGGAGGGAAGAUUCAUGGGGUGAUGAAGAGUGGGCUGGUGGUUCCGCGGAUGUGCAGGCAUCUGUGUGGAAAAAAGAAGCUCCAAUCACUGCCUCACUAAAUCGAUGGAGUGUACUAGACAGUGAUGUAGCUUUGGGUUCAUCUUCUGUAUCUCCUAGCAUUGAGGACUCUGGAAAACAGUCUUUGGGUGGUUUAAAUCCGGCUUUGGAAUCAAAUGCAAGUGGUUCGACUUCAGGAGGGCAGCAGCAUGGAGGAAAUAUUGCAGAUACAUCUGAAGUGGUUGAUGACUGGGAGAAGGCUUAUGAAUAAAAGAUAGAAUGAAGCAAUUGAUCAAUAUUUUGAUAACUUUUAGUACCGGCGGAAGGGGGGUUGGUAGUAAAUCAAAUACCCUGGCUUUUUUAUUUUUUGUAUUUGGAUGAAUCGUUUUUUAGCCGAAACCCAAAGAGAUGUUCAGUUGGCUCCACAAUUUUAUCGUUGUCAUGAAAGUAUUCUUUUAUCCAUCUUAUUUGAAUGACUUUUUGGUUCAAAUAGAAUCCUUUUUGGAUUUUAGUUGGGCUGCCGUCAAAAUUUUAUUGCCUUCUAUUAUCUGCUUUGAUAUCUUCCAUUGUCAUACUUGUGGAGGCAGCUGGGUUGUUGCUAGUGCUGCUGUGUGGGAGAACAUGAUUCUGUAAAUGGUCAAUUUUGGUUAGGGUAGAAGUAUAUAGAUAUAUAGCUAUGGCUGUUUAAAAUAGCUAUAUAGCUAUGGUUUUUUAAAAGCUACAGUCAAAAUUUCUGGUUUCCCUGUUUUUUUUAAAGUACUAAAAGUACAAGUUAUAGUCUAAACUAUUAAUUAGGUCCCAUUUCAUUCAUGGGAAAUGAGGCUUGGGAAUGAGAAUUCAAUUGCUUUCUCAUGUUUGGUAAGUCCAGGCAUGAGAAAUGAUUAUCUGGCACAUGGGAAAGUAAGGGGUAAAGUGAAGUCAUUUCCUUAAUUUGAGUUUUGUUUUCCCUCAUCAUGAGAAAGUUUAGGAAAAUGAGCCAACAUUCAAUACACAAUUUUCAUGACUAUUUGUCCCUAUGAACAAUUUAUAAUUACAACAUAUCAUUAAAUACAUUCUUUUUUUAUUUGAUUUAACAUGGGUAUAAUUGGAAAAUUAUAUAAACUUUGUUUUCCAUUCCUACUCAAAACAAACAUGGGAAAGGAAACAAAGUGAAAUCUCCUGGUUACUUUCCCGAUAUUAUCAAAUGUGGGAAAUGAAUCUUUCAUUCCCAUUCCUUGGGAAAUGACAUGGGAAGUGAUUUUCCCUCAAAUCCAUUCCGUAAACCAAACGGGGCCUUAGGGAGUGAGAUUUCUCACACAUACACAAUUAUGAUGCUGGGGAUUCGAACUUUAAGACCUCUGAUCUGCAUGUCAAGGUCCUUUUUCACUGGACUAGAUCCCGUUGGCUGGUUUCUACUUAAUAUACCUAGUUUUUGUCUUCUUUUAACUUGUCAAAGGAAUUUGGAUCUUGUUGGAAACUUGCAAUAAGGGUUUAAAAUUGAACUGUGAGGUGAGGAAGUGGGUUUGAAGAUGGCUGCAUGAAAAAGGAUCCAUUAGUAUAGUGGUUUGGAGUAUUUACUCAUUCAGUUAAGGUCCUGGGUUCGAGUCCUAGCAUCCGUAUUGUGUGUGUGAGUUUAAUAUGCUAUCGCCCCUUUCAAUAAAAAAGGUCCUUAAAAAAAAAAAAAAAAAAAAGAAAGAAAGAAAGAAAGAUGGCUGCAUGGAAUUAAUUAUUUGCUUCCACCGUAUAUCAAUGGCAGAAUUCAGUUAUUGGGUUGCUCGCAAUUGCAUUUCUUAGACAUGGUUUAUGGAUGACACACAUCUAAUCCAAGUCUUCACUUUUCCUAUAAAUUAUGAUUUAUGCGAACUCUGAUAUUCUGCAGUCUGCCUUUUUUUUUUCUUGGUGACCUGUUUUUGGGUUCCGGAAGAACGAAAGAUGAUCCCUUUCUUUCGUUUUCUUUCAUUCAUUAUUGAUUGGUUGAUUUUAACUAGUUUGAUUAAUUGCGUUAAAAGAUAGCAAGUAUUUCUCGUUAUGAUGAGUUAGAGAAACUGAUCAACAAACUAAAGUCAAGUUGGACAAAAUACCAGUCCGUAAGUUGCAAACAUGCAAAAUCAAUAAUCGCUCACACAACAUGUGGGCGGUUCCUACCCAAAACACCAACUCCAAACGGAAAGCCAUGUGGAUGUGAUUUGCCUUCUAUCAUUUAUCAAUUAAAUACAAAUGCAUUUCUUAAAAUAAUAAUAAAUUUAAUAAACUCCUCAUACUCUUUAUUUCAAAAUCAUAGGCGUCGCCUUCAGUCCGGCAUUCCCUCUCUACUACCGAUAUAAAAAUAUCCCCUCCACAAACCACAAAUUUAAAAAAAUUAAAAACAGAAAAACAGACCGUCUUCUUUAUUUAUUGGUAAGGUUAGAAGUAGGAGUAAUUGUAUCACCUCAAACAAAACUAUCAACUACUCUCUCUCUCUCUCUCUUCUCUGUAAGUUGUAAUCCUUUACAUUGUGAACUCCGUGUACGAGGCAUUGUGUAAGUCGCUUGGCAUUCCCAGCUCUCUGUCUUUCAUUUAUAUAUAAAUCAACACACAUUUUUUAGAAUUCAGUUUAAUCUUUUCUUUCCAAUCUGUCUACUCCUUUCAGACAUACAUACAUCAUACAUGGAUCCUCAGCUCGGUUCUGCUAACCAGUUCAAGGUUACUUUCUUGCUUCCGUUUUUCUUUUCAAGUACAAAACUUUGUUUAUAAUCUAUUUACUUAUUUGUUUUUCUUUUAAGAAAGUUGCCUGCUUUGGUACUAAAUGGAUGUAUGAACUUGCAGAAGCAUUGACCCAUGAUCUCUCUCUUUGGGUUGUUAUAGUUAGUUGAUUUGUAUUGCCCUGAUAUUUCUGUAGCUAGUAAUUUUUGAUCUUUUACCAUGAAGAGCAAAAAAGGAAAAAAAGCCAAGAUCCAAACUUUCCAUGAUAUGUACUGCUUACAGUAUAUUUCCUUUUGCAUUUAGUCUUCAAAUUGGAGCUCGAUAUCUGGCAUUUCACCUAGGUUGGUGUCGUAAAUAAGCUUGUUUUAUUUGAUCAAUUGGGGUUUUACCAACUUUUCUGUUUCCAAUUCUGGGAUUGCAGAUCACCAGAUCACAUGCUCAAUAUGAAAAAAGAAAAAAUGCAUGUGCGUACAUCAUUAUAUCCAUCAUGUGUAUGUGCCGGUGUUGAAAUGCUCCUAAUUACUUACCGGACCAAUUUAAAUUGCAAUUUGAGUUGCUUCUUGAUGCUAACUCCAGCUAAAGAAGUACAAGGUUACCAUUCAGUGCCUUAGUGUUGCCCCACAAUGAGUCAUAAAGCAAUAGAGAUACAAGCGCAGCAUUUAUCAUGAGCUUCACCUUAUUAUCAUCUAAUUUUUGACUUCAUAUAAUAUACAGGAGACAUGGAAGCAUACGCUUCUUUUGUCAUUUCAGAGCCUUGGAGUAAUUUAUGGUCAACUGAGUACUGCUCCCUUAUAUGUCUUUGGGACAAUGAAUGCAGAAGAUAUCAAAUCAGAGGAGACUGUUUAUGAACUAUUCUCCUGUAUUUUCUGGACUAUUAACAUCAUUUCUUUACUCAAGUAUGCCUUUAUAGUAUUAAGAGCUGAUGACAAUGGAGAAGGUAAUUAUCUACUAUCCUCCUAAUGACAGGAAUUUAUGUGCUAGGAUUGUGCAAUAAUUUUUCACUUUUAUCAUCUUGUAGGUGGUACUUUUGCUUUGUAUUCACUCCUGUGUAGGCAUGCUAAAGUGGGUCUGCUUCCAAAUGACACAAGUGCUAAUGAGGUUAUGCAUUAUGAGACGGGAAGUCCUUUCAAGAUAAAGGUGGAAUCAAGGGCUAGAAGAGCCAUUGAGAAACAUAAAAGUAGCCACUAUUUAAUGUUGUUCCUUGCUCUGUUCGGUUCCUGCAUGACGAUCGGUGUUGGGGUGCUUACCCCAGCUCUAUCUGGUUUGGCAUUCCUCGUCAAUUUUUCUAAAUAAUAUUAGAAAUUUCUAAGAAAAUUCGAUUUCUGCAUUAAACUUAUGUCAGAUAUGAUUAGAUGUUUGAAUGAUUCGUUUUCUUUGUCUUUGUCUUCCUCAGUGUAUUCAGUUUCAUCGGGUGUUCAAAGAUCAAUGUCAGAUAUGGCACACUUAUGUAAGACCUAGCCGUAACUUCAAUUAGAAAAGUAUAUAUUUCUUUCAAUCAUCCUUUAAUAGCUAUAUAAUCAAUCAUUACUCUGACACUUAAGUUGUAUCUUGUGGUUCUUACCAGUUUCAUCUUCACCAAGAAAACAGGAGGCCAUAUCAAAUGCUUUUGAGAAAUGUGAGUACUUUGUCAUCAAGUAGGUACUUCCACUGCAUCUGUUCCACCCUCUUUGCUUAUGUUGUUUCCUGUUCAGUGACCUGAGGAAGCUUGAACACUUUUUUCAUGAUAACUCAACAUAAUUUUUGUAGAGGCACUCUUGCACACAUGUCCAGUAAAAUGGAAAGCAAAGAAACCGGAGAAACUAAAAGGAGAAAUACACACUGCACCUGGAAAAUAAACACAACACAUUCUGAGCCUGUCAAUCAUGAUGGCCAAAGUUUAUCUGGUUCCCAUUGCAUCUACUAUAUUGGUCAUGACUUGGAUAUCUUAGCUAAUCUGUUUAUUCACUUGGAAUUGUAUUUGUUAUAGAUGUACCAGUUCCAACGGCAUCUGCUAUAUUGGUGUGCCUCUUCACACUACAACACUAUGGGACUCAUAAAAUUGGGUUUAUUUUUGCUCCAAUUAUUGUCAUUUGGCUGAUAUUUAUCGGUGGAGGCGGUAUAUAUAACAUUUUCCACUGGAACAAACAAAUUAUCCAUGCUGUCUCCCCGAUGUACAUGUACAGAUUUGUUAAGAACAUUGAAAUCAAAAGUUGGAGGUCUCUAGGCAGCAUCGUUUUGUGUGUAGCAGGUUUUAUUAAGAUCCCAUGAGCUUCAUUUUACUAUCUUUAAUUAAUGCUGUAAUUUUAUUCGGAACCAGAUGUUUUCAUUAGAUCCUGAAACACAGUACCUUUUGCAGGAUCAGAGGCAAUGUUUGCAGAUCUAGGUCAUUUCAGAAAGAAAUCGAUCAAGGUUUUUGAUAUAUCUCAAAUUCUUUGAAUCUUAUAUCAAGGUGUGUUCUGAAAUUAAAAUGAACUUGUGGAUGGUGUCCUGCUGCAGAUUACAUUUGUAUGCUUGAUUUAUCCAGUCCUUGUUUUAUGCUAUGCCGGCCAGGCUGCAUAUAUCUCCAAAAACUUGCAUGCUGCAGAUUUCAAUCAUCUCAGUGAAUCCAUCCCCCGUAAGCACACUUAUUUUUCUUUACUAGUUGCUUCAUCUGCCAACUUUAGAUAUCUAACAUAAAGAAUGUAUUGUUUAUGGAAAGUCCAGACCGAAUUCGCCACUGGUUCAUAGCAUUAUCCCUUCUUGCUUCAGUUGUGGGAAGCCAAGCAACCAUAACAGCCAGUUUUUCCAUCAUAAAUCAGUGCCUAGCACUUGGUUGUUUCCCCAGAGUAAAAGUUAUUCAUACAUCAGAUAAGAUACAUGGGCAGGUUUACAUUCCUGAUAUCAACUGGCUAUUGAUGGUUCUAAGCCUCGCUGUUACAAUUGGUUUCCAUGAUAUUAUGAGAAUUGGUUCUGCCACAGGUAUGCAUUCGAAACAAUCUCUGUAUUCUUUUGUACAAGGGUUCCAGUAUAGCAACCCCUGACAUACUCUCUAGGAACUUCAUUAUUUACAUAUAGCUGUUAUCUGAUAGAUAUUAAUAGCUCAAUCUCCCACAGGUUUGGCCGUAAUUUCUGGAAUGCUCGUAACGACUUGUCUCAUGUCACUCGUAAUUGCCCUGUACUGGGAGAAGAAUUUGUUUGAAUCUGUCUGUUGUCUGAUAUUCUUUGGAUCCAUUGAGGUAAUGUAUGUAUCAGCUUGUAUGUUGAAUUUCCAUAAGGGAGCUUGGUAUUUGGUUGUCCUUUUGGCAUUGUCCUUGACAGUCAUGCUUUCAUGGCAUUAUGGAACCAAGAAGAAGCUCGAAUUUGACUUACAAAACAAGGUAUCUGCAGAAUGGCUUACUGAUAUUAGCCCAGGCCUAGGGGUUACCAGGGUUCCUGGCAUUGGUUUCAUUUAUACUGAUAUAGUGACAGGAAUUCCAGCUUUCUUCUCACACUUCAUUACCAACCUUCCUGCAUUUCACCAAGUUUUGAUCUUCGUGUCGUUCAAGUCCCUACCGAUGCCUUACGUCCCUGCAAGUCGGAGGUAUCUUAUUGGCAGGGUUGGCCCAAAAGAUUUGAAGAUUUAUCGGUGUGUCGUGAGAUAUGGAUACUGUGAUCCUAUUAGGGACACUGAUAAUUUUGAAGAACAGAUUAUUAGUUCAAUCGGAGAGUUCAUUACCAUGGAAGAAAAUGAGUUUGAAUCCCUGAAUUCAUCAGAAGGAAGAAUGGUGGUUGUUGGAAAGCCACCAGCUGAUGGAAGCGCUUUGAUUCCAUUGAAUGAAACAAACUCAGAUGAGGAGUCUGUGAGCUUGGUGAGCAAUAUUGAAACUCAGCUAGCUCCAAUGGUGGCCGAUGCAGUGGAGAGUGGUUUGGGUUCAGUGAUGAGAAAAAAGGUGCGGUUCAUGUUGCCCGCGAAGAGUCCGAAAAUGCGAGCAUCUGUUAGGGAUGAGCUGCAAGAACUAAUAGAUGCAAGGGAGAGUGGCACAGCGUACUUCCUGGGGCAGGUGCAUUUAGCAGUGCGUGAUGGCUCAGACGUGUUGAAGCGCUUGCUGAUCAUGACUUAUGCGUUUUGUGAUAAAAAUUGCAGAGAGCCUCCAGUUGCUCUCAACAUUCCUCAUGCCGCUCUUGUCGAGGUUGGUAUGGUCUGUUGCAUAUAAAGCAUUAAUUGUAAGGCCAUGCCAGACGUUGGGGCAGAGGAGCAAUGAUUUGUACAAAAUCAGGAAAGAAUUCAUCGGAGAUGAGAGGAGAUAUAUAAGAAAACACAUGUAUUGUUUAAGUUUUUUAAUUUCUUGUAGUAGCUCGGAAUCCAUAUAAAAAGUUGACAAGAAAGAUACAAUGAAACCUAAAAUCUGUCCAUAUUGGUGCAUUAUGCAUAUAUAUAUAUAUAUAUAUAUAUCCAUGCCUGCCUUACUACUUAUUAAGCCUAAUUGUUCAAUACCAAAGUUCCUGCUCUUUCAAACUAUAUAUAUAGGCUUUGAUUCCAAUUUUCAGUUAGGUUUUUUUUAUUAUUAAUCCAAAAGUACUUCCUAACAGAACUGAAAAUUAGACAUUCUUGUGGAAAGAAAUUAAUGGCAAAGUCUAAUUGCAUAGCUAUUAAUCCUUCAAAUGUAACAAUAAGAUGAAGUAUUUUAUUUCAAAUUCCUUAAAUUUACAAUAAUGAAAAAAUAAGGAUGGCAGUGAACAACCAAAAUCUAUGGUCUCUUAGUUUUGGAUUGGAAGAAGCACAUUGCCAACUUCUCCCUCCACUGACAAAAUAUUUCAACAAGUUGAAUUGAUCUGGAGAGAAAAAUGACUAAAAUUCCUGAAUCAGCAAUCAUAAGCACAUGUACUCAAAUAUAUAAUAAAGAUUUGCCACACAACGGCAGAAACGACAAAUCUGUAUCAAAAAGCCAAAAGCCAAAAGCCAAAAGGAAAUAAAAAAUCCUAAACAAAAAACAAAACAAACCACAUCAUCAAACUCCUAAAGAUUUCACGGGAGUUAUUAAACUAAAACAAGAUCACUGCUCCACAUUCUCUCGAGCAACCCGAAGAGAGCCAUAGUGCCGCACUGGUUAAACUUGAAAUCGACCCAACCUGACAUCAUCCCCACGUCAUAGUUCCAAACCUAUAUUGAAGGUUGACAAUUGGAGCCAAAUCCUUGCAUACAUAGGCCAAAAGACGACAAUUAUAUCAUGGCAACGACAACGUUUGACGACGACUGCUUUCACAGCACAAAACAAAGAAACAAAAAACAACGAAUCCAGAGAGAAAUGGGCGGGAAGGAGAGGAAAGGGAUCUUUAAGUUCAAGCAAUUGGGUGAGUAACUAACUCCUUCAAUCAAAACACAGAAAAGAACUAUCCUUGAUCAUUGCCUGUCACGUCAGUCAGUGUAUAAUUAAUUGGCUGGCUCACAAAUUAGCAGCAGAUAAUAAUUAAGGAAAAUGAGAGAUAGAUAUAUAUAUAUAUAUAUUGAAAAGUUUAAUUCUGCCAUGCAAUGGAACGUAUAUAGUCGUGGCAAAUAAAUACGACUGCAUACACCAUUAUUCCUUCCCGGGUCUUAUUGAACCCUGCUAUAAUACAUAGUUUUCUAUAAAUAUUUAAGAAAUAAAACUUUUACAUUUUUAAUUCUCACUAUAAUAAAUAUUAUAUAAUUAAAUAUAUAUUUAGUUAUGAAUGGGGGACUUCUUUCUAGCUGGGGUGUAAUCCAUGACCAGCAAGUCCAAGUCUUCUCCCCUCUCUUGCCUUGUUUUGGUUUUGGUAGUUUUGGUCUUGGCGGCUUCAUCUUCAACAAGACUUGCAACUUUGUCAUUAACUCCUCCUGUUCCUGUACCUAUAUAUAUAGGCGUGAGUGACAAGAAGAAGAAAAAGAAUGUCAUGUUAUAAAUAAUUGAAGGACUUAAUUUAAAGAAGUUUUUGACAAUUAGAUAUAUCAUGAACAUGAUCAACAAGUAUAGUAUUAAUUUGAGAGUUAACCAUAUAUAAUGUUUACCAUCAUCAGCUAUGUAUACGACGAUGAAUAGCAGCAGCAGCAGCAGCAUAAAUGCAACCAGAGCAGUAUUAAUGCGCAGCUUGUUAUUCAUCCCAAAAGCCAUUAAUUGCAACUGUGCCGAUAGAGGAAAACAGUCCACACCUUUUUGCCUCUUCCUCUUAUCUCUAUAUAUUUAUAUGUGUGUGUGUGUGUGUUGAUGGCCUGCGCUGCCUGUAUAUAUAUGAUUCUUGCCUUGGACAGGUGGGGCAAGUGGAUGUUGGAGUAAGUUAGCGUAGGCAUAAGCAAAACCAGAAGUUUUGAGCGUAUAUAACAAAUUCAUAUAUAGAUAUAUAUCAACUCCAGUCUUCAGUCACAUCUUGGUACGGAGACACUAGCGAGAAACAGUACGUACUGUUACUAUAUAGCUAUUUUUCUUGAAUAUAAUAUGGAUGCAUUCUUCUCUCAAAAAUAUAUAUAUAUAUAUAUAUAUAUAUAUAUAUGGAUGCAUGCAUGCCUUUAAUAUAUGCAGUACUACUUCCACCACCAUGCACACAUGCACUGAGAAAGAAGAAGAAGAGCCCUAUAUAAUUUAUUUACCAUUGGAAAGUCCUGAAGUUGAUCCUUCCUACCUUAAUGUUUCUGUGUUACGUACAUAUAUACGCAUAUAAUUAAUAUUAGAGGAGGGCGAUGAGCCAGCAUGCAAGAGCGCCCACACACACAUAUAUAUAUAGUUGCAAUUGAUCAUCGUCGUACCGUACGUACGUUGUUGUAUUCCUUACAGUACUGUCAAUGAAGAUUACAUGGAGAUGGAGAUGGAGAUGUUAACAUAUUACACAUAGCCAAGUUAUUAAUUAGCUAAACCAAGACCUUACCUUAAUUCCUUCCCGGUCCUGGAUAUAUACGCUUCGGAUCCAACAGUAGUAUUAAUGGAAAAGGUUAAUUAGAAGAGAAUUUAGGGUAAAUAUAAUAUAAUAUUCUUAGUCUCUGAAAGAUUGGCACUUGGCACACAAUUAAUUUGGAAAGCCAGAUCAUAUAUCAUCAUCUCUGUUCCUUCCUGUACAUGCAAAUUGCAAUGCAGACCAUGUCAACCUCAAAACAAACCCAAUCAUCGUUCACCUCCAAAGCACAUGGUCCAUCGGGAGCAUCACGUGAAGUUUUUAUAUAUAUGCACGAAUUUGGCUCGUAAAGUCCCAAUUAUACACAUAUAUAAAUAAACCCAUAAAAAUUAUCACAUGGCCAGAUAUCUGCUACCUAGGCUAGCUCUGAUCUCCCAUGUCUAAUCAUUUAGUCAUAAUCUUCAUUUUUCAGCUUGUUAUAUUAUAUCAUAUCAUAUCAGCCAGAUAUCUGCUAGCUAUAUAUGCAUGUAUGUAUGUGUGUAUAUAUAUUGGGGGUGCAUGAUACAUAUCAAACCUUCCAACAUGGAUGCUGUUUGACUGCAGAAACCCACAUGUCUGUGUUGGUUAUUGCCACCGUCUGUUGUAGACAAGAUUAGCAUCCUAUGGCCCACCGUGUAGCGACAGAUUCUUUCUGAUAUAUAUAUAUAUAUACGUGGAAAGCUCACGACUCAUGAAUUUGCAACUCUUCAAUUCAAUCAUCAAUCAUCAGUCAUGACCAAUUACCAUACUAAUUAACGACUAGGGCGUGUUAUCUCAACAAAUAUAUGGGCUCAAUUGUUGUGCCAGAGCCAGAGAUAAAUCUGAAGAUGGGCUUGGUUUGCACGACAUUGGGCUAGCUUUAAGUUUUUUAACAGGACAAGGAGAGGAGAGGAGAGGAUCACCCAACCCAACCCAACAAAAGAUUUAAGAUAGCAUUGCAAUUUGCAUGUAUCCUGCUGCGCAUGCCCAAAAGGACUAGGUGUAAGGCAGUCUAUUAUUCAUAGAAUCAUAGGCCGUCAUUAGGGCCAUCCAGUAUCUCAUAUACUAUUACUAGCCUAAUACUACCACCUCAUGCACGCUGAACAAUGACCUUUGGGUUUUUACAUUACAUAUUACUAUUACUAGUCUAAGUAACUAUUUUUUGGAAUUAUCACGUUUCGCAAGUCUAGCAUAACGUAAUAUAAAAGGGCAUGCAUAAUAUACAAGUAGCUAGUAAAGUAUUCUAGCAUACCAUAGAUUAUAGGGUACCAGAUUAAGUUAAAAUGUGUUAUAACUUGAGGAGAGAGAUAAAAAAGGAGGGUCGGGGCAUGAAAAUUAAUUAUCUCUUAGGGCAUUUCUAUUUAUUUGCCAUGGUAAAUGAUAAGGGGAAGCAAUAGCUGUUAUCAUUUACAUGAAUAGUGCUUGCCCCAGCAAUUUUUUUUUUUUUGGUUUUCCACCAAGUCUUGCCUUUGGACUCGCCCGGGCUAGUGGAGCCCAGCUCUUGCCCUAGCUAGAUUUGGGCUUUGGAAACCAGAUUGGGGGCCUCUUGCCCGGGCUAGGGCCUCCCGGUUGAGGUGGGCAGCCAAUCAUAUCCAAGGUUGCUUCAUUCAGUUAGUUUUCAGAGAAAAUUUGUUAAAUCAGCUUAUGUGGAAGCAAUGUGACAUUUCAAGUUGGGGUAUAUGGUCAUUUCGCAUAUACUCACCCAUCAGUUGUAUUUAGCCCGUCAAUUUGCCCCAAUUCUUCCCAAAAUCAAAACCCUAAUUUGAGACCUGCAACAAAGCCACUGGAGAACUCUAAAUUGGCGUGUGCAAUAACCAAAUGAUGUGAAUCCUAAAACCAGUCGGAUCUUGUGUUAAAAUAAAGAUUAUGAACAACUUUAGUUUGUUUGUAUGAUAUAUAUUAUAUAUAAAGGAAAAUGGUUGAAUAAUAAUUUAUUAAAAAGCUUUUGGUGGAUCAAUUAAUGUCUGGGUACGUACGUACAUAAUCUAUGAUACCAUAUAUAUCACAGGCACAGCAAUGAAGGGUCAUUUUCGUAUGAGUGCAUCCACAGUAGUGGAAACAUUCUCUUCCUCAAAUAAAUGUGAGCAAACAUUGAUAAAAGAAAGAAGCCCUGAUACAUCAACAGUGGGGAAUUUGGAAGUACUGCUUGAAAAAGUGAGGGAUUGACUAGUAAAAAAGGAAACUUAUAUAAAGACACACAAUGCAGACGGAUGAAUAGGAAGAAAUGUACUAGCAAAGUCCCCGCUGUUCGAGAAACCCCUUUGAUAUGUUACUUUCUUUCAUGUAUAAAGACAGAAAAAGAGAGAGAGAGAAAGAGAGAAAGAGAGAAAGAGAGAAAGAGAGAGGGAGAGAGAUUUCAAAGGCCAAAAACCCACACCCCAAUUACGCAUUAGUGUUUCUGACCGACUGAUCAUGAUGAGAGACUGAUCAAAUUAAUAUAUGAAAUAUAAAUUAUAUGCAUGCAUGAGUCAUUCCAGUGGUGAAUUCCAAAAAUGGGAGCGUCUCCGUACUCUCUUUGCACUGAUCACUUAGUUGUAAUAUAUAAUAGAGAGAGAGAGAGAGAGAGUCACAGUACUAGUAGACUAGUAUAUAUAUAGUUAAUGUGAACAAAAAUGGUAAGACUGACUUGUAUGAUGCAUAAUUGUUGUUAGUGCAGUCCAGAGAAUUUGUAUUUGCUUAUACUUAUAGGUAUAUAUAGCUAGAGUCGAUCUCCUCUCUCCAGGGUACGUUGGAAGAUUUGUAAUUAUAAUAUGGAAGGAGCUUUGAGUAGUUCUACUACUUACAAGGAGAAAGAAAAACAAGAGAAUGUUGAAGAUCAUGAGAUCCUCAAAAACAGAAUCUCUACCCAUCCCUUAUAUGGGCUGUUGGUUGAAGCUCACUUGGAUUGUUUGAAGGUCUCUUCUCUCUCUCUCUCUCUCUCUCUCUCUCUCUCUCUCUCUCCCUAUGUUUGUGUGUUUGUGUGAGUGAGUGUGUGUAAAUUGAUUUGCAGUGAAGGUUUUUAUAGCUACAAUACAAGUUUGGUUAAGGCUUAAAUAUAUGCCUUAUUGGGGUAUACCUAGUUUGCUUGCACAAUCUGUAUAUGUGCCUUCUAUCUGAUACAAAAUAGGGCAUCCAUCCUCCUGCUGCCUGCAUAUAUAAUUAAGCAGCAUAUAUUCUUAUUAAUUACUUAUUAAUUAGAUCCGUCGUGGUCUUCUUCUUCUUCUUCUUCUUUCAAAUCUUCAUCAGGUCGGUGGAAUUAGUGGUGACCUAGACCUAGAGGGAGAUGUUAGCAGAGAUAUGAAGCAGCUUGACAACAAGUACAAGGCCAGUGAAAAUCGACAAUCUGACCUCGAUCACUUCAUGGUAAUUAGUUAAAAUUGAUCCCUCUUCACAUAUAUUAACCUUAUCCUUCUCUCUUGUGUGCUAGCUCCAUCAUCGUACACAUCAAGAGUAGUAGCUAGCUAGUGGUAGUACGUACUCAAGGAAGUUAAUUAAUACCCCAAAUUAAUGCACACUAAGUCUUUUCGGUAACGCAUGCAAUUAACUGUGUAGAUAUAAAGACCAAGAAAUAUGAGCAGGAAGCAUAUAUCUAUAAUUAAAUAUAUUGCUCUGUGUUUUUAACAAAAAUUAUUAAUUAUUAUUACUUGUCUGGGACUGGACUGGACUGGGACUUGGACUUGGACUGGGGUAUGUAUAAUAUAUUAUUGAUGCAGGAAGCAUAUUGCUUGGCACUUGGGAAGCUGAAAGAAGCAAUGGAGGAACCGCAGCAAACGUCGAUGGCCUUCAUAAGUAACAUGCACCUGCAACUCAAGGAGCUAACAGGAUCUCAUCAACCUGAACCGGCCACCUCACUUUCCGGUCAGUCUGUUGACCAUCUAAAUUAAACACACCCACACCCACCACAUGCAUAUACAAAUAUAAUACUAUAGCUAGUUAAUUUCUGUUAAUCUUUUAAUGUCGUAGGUGAAAGCUACAAUUGAUUGUGCCUGCAGUCUGCAGACGAGCGAAAGGCCAGGAGGAUGCAGUGCCUUCAUGGAACCUGAUGAAUUUUUCCAGAAUAUAAUUUUUAUAUAUAUGGUAUGAUAUUUGCCUCCAAUCCAAUCACGUUUGCGAUUUGUGACACACUCCUGCGCAACAUGGCAUGUAAAAUUUGGUCCUUAUUUUAAUUAUGCGUCCAUCUCAAGCUGUUUCAUUUAUUAGUCUGAUAUUUCCAGGGAAUCAAACAAAUUGAACGAAGCUGGUUUUGUAUUCACCAACCAAUCUAUUUCCAACUCAUUAUUUUUGCUAACAAUAGCACAAUCGAUUUAUUUAUAAAUACGACUGGACUCUGGAGGAUAAUAUAGAUUUUUCAUGCUUCGUCAGAAACUGAAACCCCCCCCAAAAAAAAAAAGUUAAUUAGCUUGAUUGGAUGGAUUGGAAAGUAUGUAUCUUAACAAGUUAUUACAUCAACUGAGAUGUUCAUACACGCAGUUCAUGUCUCCAAAUUAAAAGAAAUUUGGGCUCAACUCUACACCAGAAAAGAGAUGAACAUCCCAUAUAUUUCAAUCAUAUGCCGGCAAUGCUUGUAUGGUUGUGUAAUUUAGUUGGAAACCAUGCUUUCAGUCUCUUUGACGAAGCCGUCUCCUGUCCACUCCUUGUCCGAUUGCAAACCUUUCCGGACAGCUUUCCUCUGUUGUAUUGCUUCUUGUUGCCUUCGUACUAAAUCAGUAUGUGUUGUAAAAUAUUCAAGGGAAACCCUGCAUAUUCAUUGAAAAGAAAAGACCGACCGAAAAUAUCAGUAUACUCGAUUUUUAACCUGAUUAUAAUUCUGUUUAGAUGUAACAUUCAUUCUAAAAAGAAAUUUCUUACCCCCUGAAAUCUUCUAUAGAUGAGAAAUUGUGUAGUUUCAUAAAAUCCUGAAGCUCAGAACAGAGUUUUUUCACAAUACCAUAUCCAUGCAUCAUGACCCCAGUGCAGACCUGCAACAGCAAUCACAGAAUUUUAUUUCUUCUACAGUCAAGUAGUAUUGAGCCUCAAACUGUUUAGGCCGGUCCUGCCGCUUAUCAUGGCAUGCUGCCUAACAUAACAUGUGCAGAAUAACCUCAAAAUCUGUACAUUACUAAGUCAAUUAUGGAGAUAAACACUAUUGGCCACGAAGUCAAAUCGUGUGUGUUGAAGGUUGUAGAGUCCAUCACUACACAUAAUUGUUGAGAGUAACACACAAAAACUACAAAAGUUAGUUUCUCAACAUACCUGAACAGUAUUUGCUCCAAGCAGAAUAAAUUCAGCAGCAUCACCACCGGACUCAACACCCCCAAUACCAGAAAGUGAGUAAUCCUUAUCACCAAACUCUGAUUUCAUCAUUUUUGCAAUAUUCAUUACUUUUGCAAGUGCAAUAGGAUGAACUGCCUUAGAAGAAUAGCCUCCAGGAGUUGAGUAUCUGACAGAAAAUUAGGCAUGUUUUCCUGAGAUAAAUGACAAGUCAAACUAAAUAAUAUAAUAUUUCUAGUUUCAGCAUGCAUACCCCUCCACACAAGGUUCAGGCCGUAAGGUAGUUAGAUUGAUCCCCAUUACACUCAUGAUUGUGUUAAUAGCGGCAACCCCCUCACAUCCUGAGCUCAGAGCCACUCUAGCGGGCUACAAACAAAAGGAUAAAUGAUACGAGGAAGAUUAUAAUAGAAUUUACUGUAAAUGAUAAACAUCUUGUAACAUACAUCUAAAGGAAAAAGAGAAGAAAUAUGUAAUAGUAAAGAAAUGAAACUGUUGUUAAUUUAGACCUGUUCAUUUUGAAUUUUUCUGAACAAGAACACAUCUUUAAGUAAUGCAAAAGUGGGAGAAGUUAAGCUAGCUGACCUGUGUGAUGUCAGUGACGUUAGGAGUCAUCUUAGCCCAAACAGGAAUUGUAGCUUUGGCAUUAAUCCAUCCACAGACUUCUUCCAAAAGUGCGCAGUCUUGGCCAACUGCAGCACCCAUCUUGCGCUCUGGCAUACCAUGAGGACAGGAGAAAUUGAUUUCAAAGGCAUCCUAAGAAAAAAGAUCAGAUGUUAGAUGACAAUGCUGCAAGCUCCAAGCUCAAAGUAUGAAAAUUGUAAUAGAAACUUAGUUAAUUGCUAUAUCUUACAACUCCAGUUUGCUCGACACGGUCAAUAAGUUCCUCCCAGCCAGCUUUGUUAUAUUCCUCCAUAAUUGAAGCAAUCAGAAUCCUGUCUGGAUACUCUUGUUUUAAUUGCUUGAAUUCUUUCAACAUGAUUUCAAGAGGUCGAUCACUUAUCAGUUCUAUGUUCUCCCACCCAAUAAUUUGCCCUUUGGGUGAGCCAUUUGCAUCUGCUCGUAGCCUAGCAUAUCGAGGAGUGACAUUUUUUACCUUUGCUGCGUCCAGUGACACCUAUCAAAACGUAAGUUAAGAUUGAAUGCAAAAAGUGCAACCCACAUAAAAGACAGAAAAUGACUCAAUAUCCAGCAAUGGAAAUGGUUCAGCUACGGAAAUGACCUCAAAAUUCGUUUUGAAGAAUUAAGGUCUGCAACAAAGUUCAGAAAAUGGGCUUUCCCCAAAAUCAAUGAAUCUGAAGAUGUUCAACAUUAUUGUCAAUUCAUUUUAAGUCAUUCAGGUAGAAUGGCACUAGCUACACAAAAUCAAAGAUAUCAAAAGCAGUACCUUUGCUAAACAAAUUCUGGAUUUUCACAUUCUUUCUUCCAAAUUUCUCAGUAACCAAACAAACAGAUGAAUAAGCUACCAUCAAUCAGCAGCACUAGCGCACAAUUUUGUAAUUCAAACUGACGAUCCAAACACAGAAAUAAAAGAAGAGCAAGACUUACAGUUUUGGCAAUCACAGCACCCCACCCUUCAUCAAACGCCCUCUUCAUGACCGUAUAGUUGGUACCGGGUGGACCGGAGCCAAUAACAAAGGGAUUGGGCAUGUGCAAACCAUUGACAGUAACACUAAGAUCAGGCUCUGCCUUGGCCUCAGACUCAGAGGCAAACACCCUAAACCCAACUCUGCUAGGCCGAGUCAAACCCAACUCAGGACGUGUCCUGGAAAAUUCAGCAACUGGGUUCUUGCCUCUGAUCUGAGUAAAACUGAGAGACGCCAUGGAUCAAGAAUUUUCAGCUAACUCUUGUGCAAGUAGUCUCGAGGUGUGAAUAACAAGACCGAGAAGAAGAAGAAGAUGAUGAUGAUGAAUCCGAGUUAAAAAUAUUCAGUGGGCUGUAUGAGAACGUGGAGUUAUAGGAAUCGAUUGCGUCUUCUAGCAUUUGGUUGAAUUUGAUGGUGCAAAGUUUGAAUAUUUUAAUCCCCGCAGAUUAGAUUAGAGGGACUGCAUGUUGAUGGUGACAGAUGGGAUUGGCAGAAGAUAGAUUAACUUCAUUUUUUACCAUUUUCGUUUGUUAACUCAGUCGCCCAAUGCUCCCUCACCCUGUGCGGCUGUGCCAAAUAAAAGGAUUCUACAACCAAAAUUACCAAAUCAAUUACAUAUUAAAAAAAUUAAAUUAAAUCCAAAUCUUUAUUAACUAAAAUAAGGAAUUUUUAUCAUUUUAUCCCGCUACCUCUAAAUCCUUUUUUCUUUUCAAUUACGUGAAGGCCAAAAUUAAAUUGCAGUCGGUACUGGACAUAUUGCAUGAGCAGUGACGCGUCAAUGCGACUGAACGAGUAAGAAACUCACGUGGCUUGCAAAAUCUGACGAAUUUUAUCCUUCUGGGCACUGAGGAGGAGGAGAGCCAACGCCCAACAAGUGUGAAUUGAAUUAUAAGAAUUUCAAGGCCCAAAAACAAAAGAGUUUCUAAGGCUUCGUAAUGCAGCUGGGCUAACUUAAUUGCUCCCAAAUAUAAAAAGGUCCAGUCCAUGUAAUUCAUUGAGUCAAGUUCACUAUGCCCAUUAAAAUGAGUUGGAUAGUCUCCUUCUUUUUCUUCUAUAUAUAUAAAGCAAAAGGCAGAGAAUAGUGAAACAUUCAAAAUAUCAGAAAAUGCCUUUGGUUAAUACAAACAUUAAGAAUUAAAAUUAUUAAUUAAAUGAGGAUAAUAUGGUAAAUUCACAAUUUUUCAUAUUAAAAAAAUUAAAAUUAAAAGAAAAUUCAGAUAAUAGAUCCUAUUUUUAUGGAACACAACUAUCCAUUAUCUUUUUUAAUUCUAAAAUAAAUUUAAAUUUAAAAAAAAAAAGCCUCUCGCAGGCGUAGAAGCGCGUACAGAGAGGCUAGUUUUAAUUAUCGAGGAUCUAUUCUUUUCUUUUUGAGUUUUUCGCAGCUAUGGUCUCUGAACUAUACCCGUAAUUACAUUUGGGUCGCUGAACUUAAUUAUUAGUUGCAGAGGUCACUUAACUGUGUGUUUCGUUGCACCGUUAGUCCUUACCGUCAAGUCUUUCUAAUAAAAGGGACUAAUGGUAUAACACAACACCUAAUUGAGUGACCUUUAUAACUAUUUUUUGGAGUUAAGUGACUAAAAUAUAACUCUGAGUAGAGUUGAGGGAUCAUUGCUACAAAUAAUCCUAGCUGAAAAGUCACAUUUGCCCAUCAAUAAUUGGAUAGAUCUUGCCACGUCAUCAUUUUAAACAGAAAAAACUAACGGACUUGACGGAAGGACUAUUGGUGCAACCAAACACAUAGUUGAGUGACCUCUGUAACUAAUAAUUGAGUUCAGCGACCCAAAUGCAGUUACGGGUAUAGUUGAGGGACCAUAGCUGCGAUAAACCCUUUCUUUUUUUGAGGUUUGCUACUAAACCUUUAUGGUUAGGGGACUUACUAACCCGAAGAUAAGGGGCGUAUUUUGUGCGACUUCAUCUACUAAGGAUAAAUGUGAACAUUUCAUACUAUGCCUCAUUUAAGAAGGUUUCAAUCAAACAACCAAUCACUUUAAUGCCUAACUUAAUUACAAACUCACGUUAUUAGACUCGGCUUAUUCUUUUAUUUUUUCAUUUGUCUAACAAGUAGUCGCUUUUUUCUUUAUGAAAAGAUUUUAUUUUUCUUAUAUAUUAUUUUAAUAUAUAAAAAAUGAAGGAAAUUCAAACUUAGAUAUCAGUGAAUAAAUUUAUUAUUUUGAACAACUGACAUCACCACAUAUGCAAUGAAUUUUACUUUUUUAGAAAGAAAGUUGAAAUGAAUAACAUUAGUUAAGAUAUUUAGAUGGUGACAUGAAACAUGAUUGAUGGCCCCUCAAGACUAAAGUUGGGGUGUAUCGUGAGACAAAGGGCGUUGCGGGUUCAUGCACGGGCAACAGGACAAGCUUUGAUUUUGACAUGUAUUUCUCAACUUUGAUCAUAUUUUUCUAUUUUUAUUUAUAGGAUCGAAGCUGUGGCGAAGCAGCACACCCAACUUUCGUGCCAUGAUGAUAUAGCAUACACUUGCGCCAAAUUUGUUAUCUACCGGAUUAGGUUGGCGUGGGCAGCAAUCAUAUAAUAAUAUAUUUAUAUGGACCACCAGAUCAUCUUCCAGCUGGAAAAAAACAACAAAAAUCAUUGAACGGCUAGGAUCGUUUCCCAAAAGAAAAAAGGUUUAUAAUCUUUAUCUGUGAUGUCACAUGUAUCUGCUUAGAGACGCAUGAACGGGCCAUAUUCCAUUUAUUUAUUAGCAACUUGGAACUUUGCCACUUGCCAGUGGAGGGCUACCUAGAAACCAACCUCAUAAGAUAUUCAUCCAGAUUGGAUAACAACAAACAAUAAUUAAGCACGUUGGUUGGACAUUAUCAUUGUUUAAUCUCAAUCCUUGUUGUUGGAUUUAGGGGUGAAUUGUUAGCAUCAAGAUCUAUUUAUUUCUUGCACGCUUUAGCCAAGCUCUUAAUUAAUUAAGGAAAAAUAUACAAAAGAAGAAGAAUUGGGGGUAACGAAAAGAUGGCAUAUUUUUUUAAAAAUUAAUAUAUAUAUAUAAUUUAUGAGAAAUGGAAUUUGAAGUUGGGAUAAAGAGAUGAGUCCACAAUUUUGAUCAAUUAUGAAGACGGAGAUUCGAAGUUGGGACAGGAAGACGAGUUCAUAGCUCUUGACCAACUGAACUAAUCUAUAUAUGCAAAAUUGACCAAAUUUUAAGUGUUUAGGUUUUUAAUUAAACUCUCUCACUGCUAAUUCCUACUAACUUCCUAUAUAGAUCCAAAUUGACUAGUCUAGUCUUGUACACUAGCUAAGCUAGUAUGGUUGAUCAAUUACGUACAACCUCUUUCUUCCUUUCAUAGUCAAAUCAUACUUGUAAUAAUCCUCGUGGUCUUUUCCUCGUCAAUUUCAACUUCUGAGUAUAUGCAACAAGUCUGACUUUUCUUUUCUAGUCACUUGGAAAGUCAGUUAAUUAAUUUGGCGAUGUUUAAGAGCCAUAAUUAAUCAAAGGAAUCAGAGUAAAUUUGAUUUCGAUUCUCUUAAAUGAAGUUUAAUCAACAGAUAAAGAUUGUGAGGAAUUAAUUAACUUGAUAAAGAAAGAAUCCGAAUUCGAAUCUGGCCCAGUAUAUACAUACAACUCAGAAACCUACAACGGUAACUAGCGUCCAAAAAUAUUAAUGCCAAACCCGGCGACCCGACUCCUAAUUACAGGCGGAUCCACUCGCACGGAUAUUCGACACUGGACAAUUGAACAACCCACCAUCAAGAAACGGAUACACUCGGAUCUUUACAGACGAACGGGUGGGUCAAAAGCUGAGCGGCCGUCCACCGUUUUCCGGACUCCUUCUGCAAGCAACACUCCAUGAAACUCCUGAACUCCUCCGACACCCCAUCGGGCAAGCUCGGCGGCUCUCCGAAACAUAUGGCGCACAUAAGGGUGGCCCAGUCGGGUCUCUGACCCGGAGGCAAGAACGGAAAGUGACCCAUGUAAAGCUCCAUCAGGGUCAGCCCCAGGCUCCAUAUAUCACUGGCGUAGCCGUUGUAAUUGCCACCGUAAGUGUCCGGGUCGAAUCUUUCCGGGCUCAUGUAAGCGCAAGUACCCACGUAGGAAUUGCAGGCGUCCAAGGUCCGGCACAUGAUCUUGCUCACGCCAAAGUCGGCGAUCUUCACUUCCAUGUUGCUGUUGACCAAAAGAUUGGUGGGUUUAAUGUCGCGGUGGAUGAUCUUGUGGGUGUGGAGGUAGUUGAGGCCGUUGAGAACUUGGCGGGCGACGUGGGCAAGCUUUGGCUCGGAGAAGGUGCCGUGGGCUUUAAGCAAGGUCUCGAGGGUGCCGGAGUCCAUGUACUCCAUGACGAUCCCGAUAUCUCCCGACGGCUUCUCAAAGAUUGCGUGGCAGCGGACGACGUAGGGAGAGUCCGUGCGGCGGAGGAUCUCCAUCUCGCGGAAGAUCUGACGGCGGACGGUGGGGUCGGAGUCGCCGUAGACGAGUUUGAGAGCGUAAGUGGUGGAAGUGCGCUUGUGGCGUACCUUGUAGACGGUGCCGCCGUUACCGUGGCCGAGGACUUGGAGUGUGUCGAGAUCGGCGGCGGAGAUAGCGGCGGAGGAAGAGUUGUUUGUGAGGGCGGUGGUGGCGGCGGCUGUGGGAGGAAGAGGAAGGGCGAAACGUGGGCGGCACUCGGAGGGUUCGGGCAAGGGUAGGCGGAGAUUAAGCUGUCGGCGUUCUCGUAUGAGAGCCAUUUGUUUUGGGGGUUUGUGGGUGGUGUUGGUGUGGAGUCGAGUACUUAUUUUUGUAUUCCUUUUUCCUUAUAUAAGUAAGGAGUGAGAAAAAAAGCACGUGCGGACCAAAGCAGCCGGCGUAGGAGGCUUCAUGGAUAGAGAGGAAGGAUAUGGGGUCCAAUUUUUUAAUAUUUUUAUUUUGUUUUAUAAGAGGAUGUGGGCUCCACUGUUGUAUAUACAAUUAUAGAUCUUUUAGGGGUGGAUAGGUGUGGUGUCCAAUUUUUUAGUGCUACUUGCUUAUGUGAGUUUAUCCACACGUGAUUUAAAGAGCAAGUGGCUAGCCUGCCACCUCAUUUUAAAACAAACCAAGCAACGAACCACUCAUUAAAAAAAAUAUAUAUUUAAAAAAAAAGACAAGCUAAUUCUUAAUUUGGUAUAUUUAUCUUCCCAAAUAGAAAAUUAGAUUCGUGUCAAUGGCUACAGGCGAACUUUAAAACAAACAAAUACAAUCCACCAACCAUAGCUAUGGGUCAGAAGAACUAUGAAGUUAGGUACGUUUUGAAGACUAUUCGUCAUGUACAGCGCCAAAUCACCCUCUAUGAUAUCAAGAUUCCAAUAUGCGUGAAUAAAUUAUUAACAGAUCACUCUCUUUUAUAACGAUUGAGUCACGUGGUUAAUAAUAAAAUUAAAAAUGGAGCUCAAUUAAAUUAAUUUUGUUUAGGGUUAGGAAAUUUGAGAGCUGAUGUGGAUCAUGGAUACAUUGAGUUUGUUUAGGUUAAAUAAAAAUUAGUUUGUUGUAAGAUUAGGAAGUUGGCUGUACAUUGAACUUGGUUUAAUCAAUGUACCUGAGGUGGCGCUGUGCUGUGCCCCUAUGUCUUAAUCAAUGUCCUUGUUGCGUCUCUUAAUUUUUAAUAUAAAAAAUCAGUUAUUUUUUCGUUUGUUUGUUUGAUUUGAUGUUUCAAUUUUGUUGGUAUUACUUAUAAAAUUGUAAGAUUAUAAGUACACGCACAUAACAUAUUUGAUAUGAGCAAUUAAAACAAUUAAAAUAACAUGAGUAAGUAUAUAUCCAAACGUGAAUUUCAAUUUAAAACGUUAUAAACGUAAUAGAUUAUUAUCCAUCACAUAAUCACAUUGGUGGAUUGAUGGCGAGACAAGAAUGGCUAUUCUAUUCUAUUGUAUUUAUAUAUAAAAAAAAAGAUUCCAAAUUUGCUAUUAUCAUCUAAAAUAUUGAUGACAAUAUUCAGUGCAUGAAAGCAACGUCAUCAUCAACAAUAAUAAUAUCAUGCCUGACAGUAGCGAGCUCAGAAGCCCCCCACCCCCCACCCCCCUCUCUCUCUAUAAGGAGCAAGUUGCACGUAACAUCAGCAGCAGUCCAUGAAAAAGUUUGAUUUAUUUAUUUGGUAAAUAACUCUGUGAGUUGUUGCUUGCUUCGCCCUCUACUUCCCUAUCAAUGUUUGGCGGUCCCAAAUUGUAUUCAGUGGCGCCCCGGCACUUGGACUGCUUAUGUCAAUUAAGUCCACAUCGUCAUUGUCUUCUUUUAUUGGUUCAGAAUAACUAUGUAAAGCCCAAAGGGUCAAGUAUGUUUUGAUUACUAAAGCCCAAACGCUUAACACCCAAAAUGUAGAGUAGACGGGAGGCCUGAGGAGGCCAACCAAACUGAAAAGAUAAGAUAGGCCCAAACUUAUUUGCAGGUAGGUUGGUUAUUAUUAGGAUUUGGAACAGAAACGUGUGAUUUGUUUGAGUUUGGUGAAUGAAUUGGGAAGCUCUGUAACUAGUAAGUUAGUAAUAGUAACUAUAACCUGAUGAUGAUUAAGUUAGUUAUCCAUUCACAGUUAUAAAAGUUUGAAGAAACACAAGACAAGACUAUUUAUAGAUAGGCAAGAUUAGUUUCUAGUUAUUCUAGGUUGUAACUUCACGUUUCUAGUUAGCAUCUUGUUACUGAGAGGUUUAAUUAGGGUGAGCUCAUGAUUAGUGUAUAUGUAUUAUCCCCAACACAACAGUAAUCUCUCUGGAGUUUUCUCAGAAUAUUAUUAAAAGCAAAACAAGGAAAAAGGUAAAAGGUAAAAGAUCUCCUCUUCUGCAGUUUUUCUUCAAAAUCUAGAUUGCGUUAGGUGGUGUCCCAUCCUCCGUCUGAAUAAAAGGUCAGUAUAAAUUCCAUGUCCACUCCCCUCCAUUGCAAGUUGUAUAUGCAUUCUUUUUCAUUAUGAUCAGAUCGAUAUGUCUUCAACUUUAAUUUGCAAGCAUCUUACUUACACAUGUACAAACAAAAAAUCACCACGCAUAGAUGCAGCAGAUAAUUGGACGGGGAAGAUUAAUUGGAUGUUCUAAAACAUUUGGAUACCUUAAACAUUGCCUGAGUGAACCGAAUUCAACCAAGGGAAGCUUUUCUUAUCUAAAAAGUACCAUUGCCUGGAUUCUUUUUGUCACCACAAAUUAAGUUACUGUUUUUGCAUUAAUUCCGAUAGUAUAUACAGCACUGGCAUUAAUUACAUGUUGGCCCUCCCUCCUUUCACUUUCUUCUCUUUCUUGACACAUAUAGAUAUGGCUAGCUAAUAAAGUAUAGGUGUUGGACAGGACAUUAUAUUAUUGGUUUCAUUUGAAAAAUUGAGAGAGAGAGAGAGAGAGAGAGAGGGAGAGGGAGGGGUGAAAAAUGCAUGGAGCUGAGAGAAGAAGAUCAACAUCCUCAGGAGGAGGAGGUGAUCAUCAUCAUCAGGAUAAUCAUGAUGAUGAGUAUGAUGAAGAUGGAGAGUCGCCGUUUGAGGUUGAGGAUGAGGUGGAGCUUUCAACAACACCCUGGUGGUGGUGGUGGAAAAGGCGUUUCACUUUCAGCAAUACCGACUCCAGUCUUACAACUACUGGUUCUAGAUCAUCUGCUGCAUCUUCCUUUUUCGAUCGUCUCGUCAUUCAUCCUGAUAACUGGUAUGUAUGGUACUUUCAAUUUCUGUCUAUUAGCUGGUUUAAAUUUCUGCGCAUGAAACACCAUGGUCCAUGGUGUUGUCCUUUGCCUCGGAUGCAGCCAUAAUUCUAAAAUGUGGUCUACAAUUAAUCCUGAGAAACCUACUUAUUUUAUCAUUACGAAAUUAAGUAUUAUUAUAUAUUCUACAUACGAGAGGAGUGGUGGUGUAAAUUUGAGCAAAUUGAACAUAAGAUUUUGGGUGCAUAGUCAACGUUUUUAGUCAUUUGAACUACAAAUUUUUUGCAUGUAAUUCACCUUAUUAGAACACAAAAAUCUCCAUUUUAUUCAUGAAUGAUAUACUUAGUAUAAUCUUUGUAAACAUUAACAUUUUGUUGUAAACAAUGUAACGACAAUACUACUCUCUUGAAAUUUGUAGGCCAAAAUAGAAACCUUUCACUAUAAUAUUUUGUUCUCUCUCUAUCUUCAUACAUUUGGGUGAAAGAGAGAAAAGGUGAAAUCACGGAAUUCAUGACUUUCUAUAGAACUUACAAGAAAUACUUUUUGAUGCACAUAAGGGAGAGAGAGAAAAAAGAAAACACAAAAGGCAAAAAGGAACUUUAAGUUGGGCCGGUUCAGUUCAGGUCCAAAGUUGUAGUACGUAUAGUCCAAAAUUGGGCUUGGGAGUUAUAUUUUAGGAUAAAGAAGUAAGGAUAGGGCCCACUUCAUAUUUUGGCGCGAAUACAAGCUCGUCCGCUCCAGGCUACCUUCAGGCCUCUGUGUACGGUUGUGAUGUGUGGUUUAAAUGAGGCAAAAACUGUGUAGGUCAAGUGAAGAAGUUGUUAAUGGUGGAAUUGGAAAUGCAGGUGGUACGUGGCGUGGACGCAUUUCAUUCUAAUAUGGGCAGUCUACUCGUCCUUCUUCACCCCCUUGGAGUUCGGCUUCUUCAGAGGUCUGCCGGAGAAUCUCUUCCUGCUCGACAUCGCAGGCCAGCUCGCCUUUCUCAUCGACAUCGUCGUCCGCUUCUUCGUCGCCUACCGCGACUUCCACUCCCACCGACUUGUCUACAAUCGCAACCUCAUCGCCCUCCGCUACCUAAAGUCUCGCUUCCUCCUCGAUUUACUGGGUUGUCUGCCUUGGGACGCCAUCUACAAGGUAAGCUAGGGCUACAAUUAAUUAACUUCAAUUUCAAAUAUUAAUUUAAUUUAAUAAAUGAUAUCUGAUCUUAAUUGCAUUGCAUUGCAGGCUUCUGGAAAAGAAGAGGGUGUGAGGUACCUGUUGUGGAUACGUCUGAGCCGAGCAUGCCGAGUGACAGAGUUUUUUGAGAAGCUUGAGAAAGAUAUAAGGAUCAACUACCUUUUCACAAGAAUUGCCAAGCUUUUUGUUGUGGAACUUUACAGCACACAUACAGCUGCCUGCUUCUUUUAUUAUCUGGCCACAACCAUGCCUCCCUCCCAGGAGGGAUACACUUGGAUUGGAAGCUUGAAGAUGGGUGACUAUAGCUAUUCCCAUUUCCGAGAGAUUGACCUCUGGAAGCGUUACAUCACCUCACUCUAUUUUGCCGUUGUUACCAUGGCCACUGUUGGUAAUUAAUCAAUUAAUUAAGCUUCUUAAUUCGUUUCUUAUUAUGUAUCCCUGAUUUAUUUUCAAGAUGGGUCAUAAAUGAGUAUGCUUUUUCCUUUUUUGUUUUCCAGGAUAUGGAGAGAUACAUGCAGUGAAUGUGAGGGAGAUGAUAUUCAUCAUGUUUUAUGUGUCUUUUGACAUGAUUCUUGGUGCUUAUCUGCUGGGUAACAUCGCUGCAUUGAUUGUGAAAGGAUCGAAAACAGAAAAGUUUAGGGACAAGAUGACUGAACUAAUCAAAUACAUGAACAAAAACAGGCUUGACAGGGGCAUAAGUAAGGAAAUUAAAAACCAUUUGAGGUUACAGUAUGACCGUAGCUACACCGAAGCCACUGUUCUUCAGGACAUUCCAGCCUCUAUUCGCAGCAAGGUAGUUGUUUAAAUUGAGGCUGAAAACUAUGGAUUCCGAAUUUAAUCAAAUAAUCUCUUUCUUAUUCUUGGUUUAAGAGAACAAGCUUGUUGAAUGGUUUUGCUUCAUUUGGUGAACUAUGAAAACAAGAAUGUCAUCUUAGAUGUUCACCUUCUAUCGUCUUGUCUUUAAAGUAUUAAUAUAAAGAUAACCAACAUAUGAGUUUACUGGUGGCCAAGUAGUAUACACUAUACAGUUAGGAUCUUAAUUUUGAUUGGCAUACUGCUGAUUGUGAAACUGUACUAAAAUCUAUUGUUUCUUCUUUGCAGAUUUCGCAGAAAUUAUAUGAGCCGUACAUCAAAGAAGUUCCUCUGUUUAAGGGGUGCUCUUUAGGCUUCAUAAAGCAGAUUGUAAGUCAUUGUCUUCGGUAACUUUAUCCUAUCUGACGAGCAACAUACUGUCAUCGUUGGAUAUUUUCAUCACCUUUGAUUAUUCAUAACAUAAAUGUUAACAAUUCUAAACUUCAAUUCUUUUACAGUACAGGAAUCUAACCUAUGUUUCUGGUUUUAUCAGGCAACCAGAAUUCACGAAGAGUUUUUCCUUCCACCAGAAGUUAUUAUAGAGCAGGGGCAAGCAGUUGAUCAACUAUACAUAGUAUGCCAUGGUGAGCUGGUAUGAAUUACAAAUUUAAUUGUUUAGUCCCAUUAUGUCUAUACCUUUAUUCUGUUUUUAAUGCAUUUGCAGUACUGUGUUAUUUGUUCUCAAACAUAAUAAAGUCACUCUGUCCAAAAUUAAUUGUAUCAGUUUCUCAAACAUUGAUCUUUGUGCUGCUCUUAGUAUAACACAUAACCUGAACUCAUAUGAAUAAUAAUAUGUUAUCAUGCAUUCAUUUGCAGGCUGAACUCAAACCCUUCUGGUUGGGCUGGCUGCUACCUUUUGGUUAUAUAUAAUAAAGCAAGCCCACACAAACAUAAAACUAGGAGCUUUGUAGCAUACAUGCAAGGCUACGCAGCUGCAUGCACACAUGACCCACCCUUCUCUGUUUUCCUAUAUUCAUUCUUUUAUGUUUACAUUUAUAUAUUCAUUCAUUGACCCUUUAGUAAAGGGUAAAAUAAUAGUUACUCUACGUAGUCUAUGCUUACCACAAUAUGUAUUUUUGAAUUAUUAUGUCUAAUAGAUCUGAUAUUGUCUACAGGAGAAGUUGGGAAGGGAUGAAGAUAAUGAAACUGAAGAGCUCCUUGAGCGUCUGCAAACCUAUAGCUCAUUUGGUGAGGUUUCCUUUCUUUGUAACACUCCCCAGCCGUAUGCUGUUCGGGUUCGUCAACUGUGCAGGGUCUUGCGACUUGAUAAACAAUCCUUUAGAGAAAUCUUGGAGAUGCAUUUUUUAGAUGGGCGCAUUAUCCUAAACAACCUCAUUGAGGUAAUAGACUUGGAAAUUUUUGUAUUCUUCUUUUUCUUGCUUCCACCCACAAGAGAUGCUGAGUUGUGCCCAUGCACUUUGCAAAUGAAAAAAAUUAAUUCCAUAAGCUCACUUCUCAACUUACAGGGAAAAGAUUUGAAUACCCGGAACAAGCUUUUGGAAUCAGAUAUCAUACUAUAUAUUGGAAAGCAUGAAAUGGAGUUAAUUAUGAAAGUAAAUUGUGCUGCCUAUGAUGGAGAUUACUAUCGAGUAAAGCGUUUGAUUGGAGCAGGAGCAGAUCCAAACAAGACGGAUUAUGAUGGAAGGUCGCCUUUGGUAUGAAUCUAGAUGCCCAAGCUACUAAUUGAUAUUUAUAAAUUAGAACAAUGGUGCCAGAAUAACAUAAAUAACUUCUCUUUGAUGACACCCCUGCUCAUAUGUAUGUGUGUGGUUUACUUCAUCUUUAUUUAUUUCCCGCAGCUUGUUGCAGCAUCGAAAGGGUAUGAAGAUAUUAUUGGUUUCCUUAUUGAUCAAGGAGCAAAUGCUGAGAUUUCAGGUGAUCUUCUAACGAGCUCUGCUAAAAAAUUCAACUGGAUCAUGUAUUUUCUGAAGAAAUCUUACUAGUUACUACUACUAUUGUUGAUUAACCCUGAUUGUUACUGUAAUAUUAGAUAAAUUUGGGAACACUCCGUUGCUUGAAGCCAUUAAAAAUGGGCACGAUCAAGUAGCUUCUUUACUUGUUAAGGCAGGGGCGUCGCUUACUAUUGAUGACGCUGGUGAAUUUCUCUGUAUUACGGUAGCAAGGAGGAGUUUGAACCUUCUGAAAAGGCUCUUAGCCAAUGACAUUAACCCAAAUGCAAAAAAUUAUGAUCAGCGAACAGCACUUCAUGUAGCUGCUUCAGAAGGCUUAUAUCCUAUGGCAGAGUUCCUUUUAGAAGCGGGAUCAAGUGUUCUAUCAAAAGACAGGUACAAUCUGAAUGUUCAUCUGGUUUGUGAGGCAUGGAUGACUGACCUUAUGGUCUUCUUGAGACUACUGUUUAAAUAUCAGCCCAAUUGUGUAUACCUAAAAUUAACAUGAUUACUGCCUUCUUUCUGCAACCAACAUGUUUAAAACCAUUUAAUAGGCGAAUUUAGCUCCUUAAAAAAAAGUAAUUCCAACAUGCACAUUUAUACUUUCUAAUUAGUCUACGUCCUGAUUGCAGAUGGGGAAGAACUCCACUUGAUGAAGCCCGUAUAGGUGGAAAUAAGAAACUAAUCAAACUGCUUGAAGUUGCUAGAGCUUCGCAGUUGUAAGAGUUCUCUAAUCAAUAUCAUCAAGAAACUAACUAAGCAUUUCUCUGAUCAAUGUGUAUUAUCAGUAACGCAUUUAUACUUGAUUAAAUGAUGAAGUGUUAUAGGAAGUGGAACAAAAGUUCUAAGAUGUUGAUAUAUGUGUUGAGAAUUUUUGUUAGAAUCUUUAAUUACCCUUUCGAUUUUCUAAUCUGCGUAGCGUGGAAUUGAUGGAUUAAACUAUUAUUUUUUAUCUGGCUUGGCAAUCCUCACUUGUCUUAUAAAAAUCAAGGACCCGAGUGAUUAAUUAAUUAAAGCUCUUAAAUAUGGAAGUAAUGCAUGAAUGCAUCAAGUUAUCUGGAUCGGAAUAGUAAAACGAAAGAAGCACAACUUUUAUUCCCACAGAUGGUCUUAGUAGCUGGCUAUAGGUUACAUAAAUGCAUGGAUGCAUGAGCAGCAGCUGGAUGCAUAUUAUUGAAACCCAAAUCACAAGAAGAAAACUUAAGAAAAUGCCACUUUCGCAGGGAAAGCGAUUGCAUUUAGCGUAUGCAUUAUGCCUUUUUAACCCAUAGGUGACCCUGAUGGGACGAGUGAAGUUUCGUGAGGGUUUAUCAUGCAGGCUUUUCUUCUUUCUUGUGCUUAAGUUAUAGAAACUGACACCAGUGUAAAUACCACCUUCCUUGGGCCUCUAGGGUAACUGUAGGGAGGGCUGCAUUCAGACAACUUUUCUUGGCAUCAGUCAACCUCUUGCAGAAAUUGUUGUUGCCCAGGUUGCGAAGAGCUACAACGACAUUGACGUCGUUGAUGUUUGUCUGAGUUUUUGUUGGCGGUGUCGUUUGAGUCAGCCGAAAUCCAGUUGUUAAUACUAUUAUCAGGGCUAGUGUUACGCCUCCGGAAGUUUUGAGUGUGAGUGGACUUUAUGCGAACACUGUGAUCUCCGGCAAUGAAGACCUCGUUUUCCACCUUCGGAUCAGUAGGAUCAGUGGCUGAGAACUGCAAAUAUGGGUGUCCAUCCAUGGAUUGAGAUAGUUGCCAUUGUCGCCUUUGAAGGCUAUAUGCUUGGGCAAAAUCACCAAAGCUUCCCAGUCGAUGACCGUGUAGACAUCAAAGUUUUGGCUGUCUGGAGUUGCUUUCCUUGCAAAGAGGCAUGCCUGGAAGUUGUUUGCGGAGAAUAGAUCUAAAUAGUGACAGAGUUGCACAAGGCGCAAUCAGAUUAGGGCGAUGCUGCCGCUGCUGUUGUUGUCUGCUUGGAGUUGAAAAAGCUCAGGCUCGAAGAGCGUACAUGACCAAUGGGAUUGAUCUUCCUGUGGCUCUCGUCAGCCUCGGCCACAAUCUACCAAUGGUUUUGGUCCGCAUUGCUCUUGCUGCCAAUCCCAUCUUUCACGCACUCACGAAGCAUAUUGAAAUCGAUUAUCACUUCAUUCGUGACUUGUUUCCUUCCAAAGCAAUUUAUCCAACAUUUUCCCUCUCAACAGCAACUUGCGGACAUCUUCACCAAGGGUCUCUGCACAAACCAGUUUCUCAUUCUCAGCUCCAAGCUAAUCACUCGUCAUCCUCCUAUUCGCUUGCGGGGGUUGGGGGUGUUCGCUUGCCGGGGGACAUAGAGCUGACCUCAUAAUAUCAAGACCUCAAUAUUUCUAAGGAAAACGGCUGACUCAAUAUCAAUCCUACACUUGUCCAUAUUCUUUGUAACCAACUUUAGCUCUAAAGAAAUCUACGGAAUAUAUCAAUAUACUAGGAAAUACUGUACUCAUUUGACAUAGAGUGGAAACAGAGAAAAUAUACUUAAAUGAUUAUUUUUCUUUCUUCUCAUAUUUCCAUUAUACAAAGUAAAAAAUUAACUAUAAUUAUGUAUAUGGACACGUGCUAUGUUGCAUGGAUACGAACGCGGGGACAUAAAAUGCAUCUUCAAGACAUUCCAGCCUCUAUUCGUAGCAAGCUAGUUGUUUAAAUUCCAGCUGAAAACUAUUGUGAAACUGUACUAAAAUCUUAUUGUUUCUUCUGUGCGGAUUUCACAGAAAUUAUAUAAACCAUACAUCAAAGAAGUUCCUUUGUUGAAGGGGUGCUCUUUAGGCUUCAUAGGCAGAUUGUAAGCCAUUGUCUUCGGUAAUUUUAUCUGAUCUGAUUAACAAAAUAGAAAAUUUGGGAUAAAAUUUAGAACAUAAGUUGAAUUUAAUCCUCUUGCAGAAAUUGUUGUUGCCCAGGUUGCGAAGAGCUACAACGACAUUGACGUCGUUGGUGUUUGUCUGAGUUUUUGUUGGCGGUGUCGUUUGAGUCAGCCGAAAUCCAGUUAUUAAUACUAUUUAUCAGGGCGCGCAGAGCUGACCUCAUAAUAUGAAGACCUCAAUAUUUCUAAGGAAAACGGCUGACUCAAUAUCAGUCCUACACUUGUCCAUAUUCUUUGUAACCAACUUUAGCUCUAAAGAAAUCUACGGAAUAUAUCAAUAUAAUAGGAAAUACUGUACUCAUUUGGCAUAUAGUGGAAACAGAGAAAAUAUACUCAAGUGAUUAUUUUUCUUUCUUCUUUUUAUUCCUUCCUUUAAUUUUCUUCUAGCAUUUUCAGAUUCUAUAUAUAAGUUUCUAGUGAGUAUUUUCCUCUCCACUUUAACCCAAUGUGCAUCUUCACUAGUACUAUACUUCUUCACACUUGACACGUGUUCAUAUGCAUAACCAUGGUUCCAUCAUACAAAGUAAAAAGUUAAUCAUAAUUAUACAUAUAGACACGUGCUAUAUUGCAUGUCCCCGGACGCGUCUUCAAGACAUUUCAGCCUCUAUUCGCAGCAAGCUAGUUGUUUAAAUUUCGGCUGAAAACUAUUGUGAAACUGUAUUAAAAUCUUAUUGUUUGUUCUUUGCAAAUUUCCCAGAAAUUAUAUGAGCCGUACAUCAUAGAAGUUGCUUUGUUUAAGGGGUGCUCUUUAGGCUUCAUAAAGCAUAUUGUAAGCCAUUGUCUUCAGUAAUUUUAUCUGAUCUGAUUAACAAAAUAGAAAAUUUGGGAUAAAUUCAAAAUUUAGAACAUAAGUUGGGUUUAAUCUUCGCAUUUGUUGCCAUUGAUACAAGUCCUUUGACUUCUCUACCAAAUAGGAUUGCAUUCAUUGUGUAGAAAUUAAUUUAUAGGACCAUAAUUACGAGAUUUUAUUUUGAUUUUAAUAUAGGGAUGUAUAUAGGUUAAUAAAUCCCAUAAUUUGAGGACAAUUUAUUUUGGAAAUACAACAAAAUAACAAUUAUUGUCUUUGUUCAUCCUAUGGUAGAGGUAUAUUGUAUACUCUUGUAGAUAUAUUAUUCAAUGGUGUAGGUAUAUUGUCCUAUUGCCUAUUGCAUAGGUAUAUAUGUGCGUGUGUGUGUGUGUGUUUGUUUUUUUGUGUGCAUAUUUUUGACAAUGUGUAAUAGUAUUUUAUAUACUUUUUUUUUUAUAGGAAACAUACAAUUUUAUUUGUCUAUUUUGUUAUAUGACUUAUAGAUGGUCUUCUAAUUUAUGUUCCUAACUUAUAGGUAGUCUUUUAAUUUAUGUGUCAAACUUAUAGUUAACACGAUUUUUCACUAAGUUUUUUUCGUUGCUAAUAAUAACACUAUUUUUACUUGUAUGUCAUGUACAUAAUUUCAUGUGAGUGCUUGUCUGAUUGAUUGGUAUAAUACGUGGGUCUUUACUUUUCAUUGAUUAAAUUGUAUUUCAUCCAUAAAUUAGGUAAAUAUUAUCAAGGAAAGAAUUCAAAAUUUAAAUUCUGAAAUUCAAUUACAAGGAAAUAAUGCAUUAAAUUUAGAUUUUCAAUGUGUUUUCCUUAUUUAACUCAAAGGGUAAAAUCGACACAACAAAAAAAGUGAUAAAUGUCAAAUGACUUACAUUUAAAACCAAAAACUCAUGGGCUAAAUCUAAUAGUGGCUAAUCGUUUUAGAGCUAGAUCUAAGAAGCCCUUAACAAAAUGAUGACAUCGUUGGAUAAUUUCUUCACCUUUGAUUAUUCAUAAUAUAAAUAUUAACAAUUCUAGACUUCGCUUCUUUUAUAUAUAGUAGAGGAAUUUGAUGUAGAAUAAAUGGUUGAAUGGAUUGAAAAAGAAUUGGAGCGAAAAGGGAAAAAGGGGGCAACAUGAAUUUACAGAUUUAGCGUCCGAUCUCCGAUUGGAUUGCAUAAUAUCUUCUUGAAAAUGGAAUGACGCCAUGAGUCCAACUGACAGCUUUGGGAUAUAUGGUGGAGUUUGGGCUUCUGAGGUCGUUUGUCCUUCCAAAAGUGCAUUUAAAAUUACAUUCAAUUUACAGAUUUUCUGUUUCUUUUUUGUUAAGUUUUCAAUAACUCCCCAUGGCAGUCCAAUGGGUGAGAAGGUUGUAUUUACUCAGCCGUCAUGCUUGAAUUGAUCUCAAGUUUUAUCAAAUAAUACAAAGAGAAUUUCUCUCUGAUUUCCUGGUGAAUUUCAGAUUAUUAUUUUUUAGGAUUUUAGCUUGAAAAUCUAUUUACUUGUGCUGCUUCAGAAUCUAACCUAUGUUUCUGGUUUAUCAGGCAACCAGAAUUAAUUCAUGAGGAGCUUUUCCUUCCAGCAUAAGUGAUUUAUAGAGCAGGGGCAAGCAAUUGAUCAACUAUACAUAGUAUGCCAUGGUGAGCUGGUAUGAGUUACAAUUUUACUUGUUUAGUCCCAUUAUGUGUUAUACCGUUAUUCUGCUUUGCAGUACUGUGUUACGUGUUCUCAAACAUAAUAAAUGUUAAUUUAUUAAGGGCUCGUUUGGUACACAGGACUGUCUUGGCAUGGACUAUGCUUAGGGACUGACUUGGCUUGGCUUAGCUUGGUCUAAGUUGGAUAACACUUAUCCUGCGUUUGGUGUAUGCUUGGACUAGGACUAUGAUUUUUUUAUUUUUUCAAAAAUAUCUAUAUAUAUGUAUAUAUGUAUUUUAUAAUAUAUAUAAUAUAUAUGUAUAUACAUGUAUAUAAGUAUAUUAUAAUAAUAUUAUAUAUUUUAAAUAAUAUAAACGUACAUACAUAUAUAUAAGUGUAUAUAGGUGUAUAUAUGUAUAUUAUAAUAUACAUGGGUAUAAUACAUAUAUACAUAUAUUUAUAUAUAUAUGUAUGUAUAUUAUAAUAUAUAAUAUAUAUAUGGGUAUGUUAUAAUAAUAAUAAUAAUAAUAAUAUACAUGUAUAUAUGUGUAUAUAUGUAUAUUAUAUAUGUAUGUAUAUAUACAUAUAUAUUAUAUAUAUAUUACAAAAUACAUAUGUAUAUAUAAUAUAUGUAUAUAUAUACGUAUAUACAUGUAUAUAAUAUAUGUGUAUAUAGGUGUAUCUAUAUAUUAUAAUAUAUACAUGGGUAUAAUACAUAUACAUAUACAUAUGUAUAUUAUAAUAGAUAAUAUAUAUGGGUAUGUUAUAAUAAUAAUAUACAUGUAUAUACGUGUAUAUAUGUAUAUUAUAAUAUAUAUAUAUAGUAUAAAUAUAUAAUGUAUAUGUCUAUAUACGUGUGUAUAUGUAUAUUAUAAUACAUACAUGGGUAUAAUAUAUACACAUAUAUGUAUAUAUACUUAUAUAUAUGUAUUAUAAUAAUAUAUAUUACAUAUAUACAUGUAUGCUAUUAUUAUAAUAUUAAUAUGCAUGUGUAUAUGGGUAUAUUAUAAUAAUAAUAUACAUGUAUAUAUCUAUAUGUAUUUAUAUAUUAUAUAUGUAUAUAUAUGUGUUUAUAUAUACAUGUAUAUACGUGUAUAUAUGUACAUUAAUAUAUAAUAUAAUAUAUAUUACAUAUAUACAUGUAUACAUGUAUGCUAUUAUUAUAAUAUUACUAUGUAUGUGUAUAUGAGUAUAUUAUAAUAAUAAUAUAUGUGUAUAUAUCUAUAUGUAUUUAUAUAUAUUAUAUAUGUAUAUAUGUGUAUAUAUAUACUUGUAUAUGUGUAUAUACAUGUAUAUAUGUACAUUAUAGUAUAUGUGUAUAUAAUAAUAAUAAUAAUAGUAAUAUAUGUUAUUAGUAUUACAAUAUAAUAUAUGCAUCUCAUACAUUGGUAAACAUAGGACUAGCUAAUCCUCCCUUUCUACAUGGGAUUAGUAGUCCCCUCCUAAGGAGGUGUUUUUGGUGGGCCCGGUAUUAGCAAUCUCAUCUAAGACUAGAAUUAAAUGAAACAAACGUGGUACUAAAUUUAAUCCAAACCAAUCCAAGCCAAGCCUGUGUACCAAACGACCCCUAAAUGUUGUUUCAAUUCAAUUUAGCAUCAAAACAAUUAAAUGUUGGCCAAACAUUCAAAGCAUUAAGCAUGGUAAUAAAUACUCAAGAUGGAAAAAAUACUUGGAAUUAACAUCGACUAAAGUAAUUGAGUAUUCAUGGCUAGGCUACAUCGUAGCCCUAGCAAGAAGAAAUUAGUUCAUGACAACUUUAAUAAAAACCAUGAUAAAUAGUAUCAUAGGAAAGAAGUAACCAAUUGAAGAUUUGAUCUCUGCACGACAGCAACUCUAGCUCCAGGUUGUCUUCUUUGUCUCUCUAAAACUCUCUCAACAAUAGAUGAUGGGUAGAUGAUGGAGGAUGGAUGAUGGGUAAUGGAUCCUUUCAACAAUGACCUAAACUCCCUAUUUAUAAAACUCCUAGAAAUCCUACCUAAGGAAUAAUUACAAUUGUUAUAAAAAUAGGAUUCCUUCUAAAAUAAGGUCUUCUUUAUUUCUUCUUGUUUGACUUGAUAAGACUUGCACCAUCUUGAACUAGGAAAUUUGACAACAUUCCUUGCAACAAAAGGAAUGACUUGGCUUCUUUUUAAUUGAUCUUCAUCUCCUUGCCUUUUUUAGCACAUUUUCUCCUAUUUCACAAUUCCUUCACAAAUCUCACAAAACCAAUUAAAAACAACCAAUUUAAUCUAAAAAAUUAAUAAAUAAAUAAACAAAGGAGGCAUAAAAUAUAUAUAUAUAAAAUAUAGACUUAUCACUAUAUAUAUAUUCUUUACAAAAAUUUAAAGCUCCUUAAAGCCCAUAGAAACCGGUAAAGUCACAGUUUUUUUGACUUUUGAAUAUGGGCAAUACACGAGAAGAUGGACAGUAUUUUGAUAACUCUGUUUAGACUAAAAGCUAAGGACUGUCUAUUAACAAAUAAUUCCAACAUGCAACCUUUUUAAUUAGUCUACUUCCUGAUUGCAGAUGGGGAAGAACUCCACUUAAUGAAGCCCGCAUAGGUGGAAAUAAGAAACUAAUCAAACUGUUUGAAGUUGCUAGAACUUUGUAGUUGUCAGAGUUAUCUAAUCAAUAUCAUCAAGAAAUUAGCUAGCUAAGCAUUUCUCUGAUCAAAAUGAUAAAUUGUCGAUCGGCAAUACAUUUAUCCUUUGAUUAAAUGAUAAAUGUUUAUAAGACUUGGAACAAAAGUUCUGAGAUGUUAUAUGUGUGAAUUUUGUUAGAAUCUUUAAUUCUCUUUUCGAUUUUCUAAUAUGCGUACCUUGGAAAAUAUGAAUUGAACUAUUAUUAUUGUUGAUCUGACUUGGCAAUUCUCAGCGUCAAUUAUUCUUACUAGGCUUGUAAUAAUCAAGGAUCGAGUAAUUAAUUAAUUAAAGCUCUUGAAUCAUGGAAGUAAUGCAUGAAUGCAUCAAGUAAUCCGGAUCAGAAUAGUAAAACCAAAGAAGCACAACUUUUAUUCCCGCAGAUAGUCUUAGCCUAGGUUACAUAAAUUAAUGCAUGAAUGCAUGAGCAGCAGCUGCAUGCAAUAUUAUUGAACCCAAAUCACAACAAAAGGAAAACUUAAGACAAUGCCACUUUCGCAGGGAACGCGAUUGCAUUUAGCGUAUGCAACAAGCCUUUUAAACCUAUAGGUGACCCUGAUAGGACGAGUGAAGUCUCGUGAGGGUUUCCAGUGACGCUACCCACAAACAUCGUAUUAACUUAACAGGAUGAUCAUCCUGGAAGUUUUUCGACAAUGAAGAAAUGUUCAUGGGUGGGGCCUCCAGGUUCUGCAAUGAGGGCAUUUUCGAACUCGUUUCCAGAUUUUGGCUUUAAAAGGUUUCCCAUUUUCUCAUGGUGGAACUUGUAUAUGCCUUCGGUGUACGGUCCUGGUGGUUUCACAACCUCAGGCUUGAAGAGUGUACAUGACCACAGCGUUUUAUUUGGCUGUUUCUCGUCAGCCCCGGCCACAAUCCACGAACUGUCUUGGCUUGCCGUUAUCCAGUAUUUGUCGUUGUAGGUGGAUUUUAUAUGCACCAGACUGGGGAGGUUUACGUCCUUCUCCACUUUGAACCUUGCGUAUUUGCUCUGAACAUCCUCUCCGGAGCAUUGGAGAAUAUCUUGCAUCUUUUCGGUGGCUUGGUCUUUGUAGACCAAGUAUUUACCGCUCGUGAAUGAUUUAAGAGCAAUGAACUUUGGUAAUUCUGCCAUUUCUGAUGAUCUCUCGCUCGCGCUUCAAUUUUUUUUUAUGUAAACUCACUUCUCUCUCUCUCUCUCGUUGCUUAUUGCUUUUCCUAACUCCAACCUGCUGUGCUAUUUAUAAUCAAGCAAACCCAAACCCUGCAUGCAGCUCUGGCUUCUUUUUCUUGCUGUACUGGCCCGCGAUAAGAAAAUUGAAGCCACAAAAAAAAAAAGUCGAGCCAGGUGGCAGUUUUGAAAGGUCAAGUAAUAUUGUUCUUGAUAUAAAACAAACUAAAGCGUGCUCCACGUCUUCAAAUAAAACAAAGUUAAGGCUAGUAAUUAUCGACAUCGAUAUUUUGCGAUAUUAUCGUCGAUAUUGUCAAUAUUUAUACGAUAUGUACAUGGAUAUGUUUCGAAAUAUCCGUGAUUCAAAAAAACCGAAAUAUCCUCGAUAUUUCCUCGAUAUUAUCGAUAUUUCAGACUAUGAUGUGAACUUGAUUAUGUAAUUUCUACUACAUGCACUUAUGGGACAUAACCAUUUAUCAAUUAUAAUAAUGUCACAUAAAAAUUGAAGCCACAAAAAAAAAAAAGUCAAGCCAGGUGGCAGUUUUGAAAGGUCAAGUAAUAAUGUUCUUGAUAUAAAACAAACUAAAGCGUGCUUCACGUCUUCAAAUAAAACAAAGUUAAGCCUAGUAAUCUAUUCUCUGUUGUAAUGUGAACUUGAUUAUGUAAUUUCUACUACAUGCACUUAUGGACAUAACCAUUUAUCAAUUAUAAUAAUGUCAUCGACUAGGACUGAACAGCGACGGCUGAAGGCCCAGCUCAUUCUUAAUCUUAGGCAACACAUGUGCUGGGUUUCAUUUCAUAAAUUCAUAACCAAACCAAGCUAGGUCAUAGAAGGAAGCAAAUUAAGCAAUUGAAAUCCACAUCGGCUGAAAAAAUCUCUCUUGAAAAACCAUAUAAUUGGAGGGUCUGCAAAACUAGACUGUGUGUACGUAGCCAACUUUAUUAAAAUGCCAAUUCAAGUCCUAUGAACACACAUUUCCUUGAAAGUUGCUGGCCAAAUUUUCUUUGUUUUGGUUUUCAAUGAGUUCGAUUUCCUUGAGCAUCACUGAAAAGAUAUUAUAUAUGUGAAAUCUUUUUGUCAGUCUUUGAAUUUACCCAAUGUGGGUGAUCAAUUUUUAUGAUUGCAUUCUAGACUUCUCCUUAGUACAAAACAAAACUACGUGAUUGAUUGAAACGUCAUUAAUUAAUUUAGACAUAUAGGCAUUUGCAUUAAUUCAUUCUAGAUAGUAGAUACACAUCUCCAUAACGCAGAAAGAAUUAGCAUGUCCUUAAUGUGAACUUCGUUAAUAAAUUGAAGAGGAGUUGGAGAACAGUUAGAUGAAUGAAUUAAAGAGGAGUUGGAGAGACGCGGAUGCAAGGGCACACUAAGAAAACUACAGGGUUUAUUUAUAGUUUUAGUGCUAAUAAUGGGUAUAUGACUAAAUAUCUCUAUAAAAAAAAUUAGUGAAUUUAAUCAGAAUGUAAUGACUUAUAGAAUUUUACCUUGGGGCACUUUAAGUCCGUUCCUCCUUAAUAAAGCAUCACUUAAUAGAUUUGAAUUAUGAGCUGAACCCUCCCACCCGCUAAAAACGUAAAUGAAUUCUAAAUCAAAGUUACAAGCUACUGAAACCAUUUAUCAAUUAUAAUUAUGUCAUUAAUUAGGAUUGAACAAUAUGAUUGUAAUGCCAUUUCUAAAGCGUGCUUCACGUCUUCAAAUAAAACAAAGUUAGGCCUAGUAUUUUCUUCUUUAUUGUUUCGGUGCUUAAUGUGAACUUCAUUAUGUAACUUCUAUUACUUGUACUUAAGGGCCAUAGCCAUUUAUCAAAUUAUAAUGAUGUCAUUAAUUAGGAUUGAACAACAAGGUCGUUGAGAUGUUUACAUACUUUAAUUACAGACAUAUGAUAAGUUUAGGAGAGUGAUAUGUAGUUUCAAUUAUUCCUUUCACACAUACCCUAAACUUUAAACCCUAAACCCCUUUCUCUUAAGCAAAAUCUAUCGGUUUUGGGUAAGUUUGAGACACUUGUGGACGAUUGUUUUUAAUUUGGACCCUAUGAAAAUACCUGUAGGAUGUCUAUAUAAAUACCUAGAGAAGGUUAAAUAGGCUAAUUCGAUUUUUGCAAUGAAUAAUAAUCAACUUUUGAAGUAGGAUUGAUAUGAGUUAUCAAUCCUGAAAUGUGCAGAGCUUAAAAUAAAAGAACACACAGAUAUUUAUUUUACGUGGUAAAACCCCACAUCUGGGGAAAAUCCACGGGACUCCUUAGUCCAGAACGAAUCCACUAUAGAAUUGAGAUUACAAGAAGUUCUCACACACACUUAUCCUAGACUCAAUGUUUACCGACUUAUUCAUAAUGUUUACCGACUUAUUCAUAACUCAACUUUUGUCAUGGGAUGAUCUUCGACACUCCUUAUGUUGAACGCAAUAUUGGUCACGAUUGCUUCAAGCUCACCGGAGGAUAAACGCCACAAACGUCUUGAUGCCCUUGACCGUAUGAGCCACUGACAUGCAUAUGUAUGCAAUAUGAAUGAUGAAUGAGUUUGAUAAAUCACCAAGCAACCAGGAGCCCUUGAUGACUUACCGAGAAAAAUAAGUACAGUAGCUUUUCCAAAAAACAGAUUCAAUAUGCUCUCAAAAUCAAUGCGUUGAAAUGCUACACUAUGAAAAGAAGACACCUUGGUUUUAUUCAAAACAGGUUCUCUCAGUCAAGAGAAACCUACUUGACCACCAAUCCAAUUCACGAAAGACUUUCAACCUUAUUCAACUACCACACAACAAAACCUGAUGCAAUAUGGACACUAGUUAAACAUGUCAAACAGGAGACCACUCAUACUGUUCAAGCAUGAAUGUUUCUUUUGAUUCAAUUUACAUGCUAUGUGAUGAUGCCAGCUAAUGCACGAUGUGAGGAAACCUCAUGACUUUCUACUACAGCCAAUCCUUUAAAACAAUAUCUACCUAACAAAUUAAUUAGACCGAUCAAGUAGGAAAUAAUAUCAAGAGAUAAAAUAUAAUCUUAUUGAAAAUAGGAUUAACAUAAAAAUACUUGAGUGAAAAUAAUUUCAAUUAGGAGUCCUAUAAUGAAUGCAUGAUUAUGUUAUGAUUUACCUGUUGUCAAGUUUCUCAUAUGGUCAGGUCAUGCCUCGGAAGUAUAGGGUUGAGAGAGUUGUGCCAAAGCGUCCAGUAACAAUUCCUCACAAACUAAUUUUCAACUUAUGCUAAAGUCUAGGAAAUGCCAAUACGAUUUUCGUACUAACACCCUACAAACAAAUAAAUUAAAGAAAAAAAAGUAAAAGAAGAAAAGAAUAUAAAUUCAUAUAUCUCAAUUUCUUGUGUGAAGCUUUUAAAUUCAUUUCAAAACUAAAAUUAAAAUUUAUUUGUUUUGGUUUUCAAUAAGAUUAAGUUGGAUUUCCUAAAGCAUCAUCACUGAUCUGAUGGCAUCAGAUAAGUCUUUGAAUUACCUAAUGUGAUUGAUUGAUUGGAAUGUAUCCUUAAUACUAAAAAAAAACCAUGUGAUCGACACGUCAUUGAGCACUUCCACUCUAUCGGCAAGGGCAAGGCAAGAGCAAGAGUUUAGGAUAAGAUUUUUAGUUGCCACUUGUCCAUAUUUAUUAUAACAUUCACAUCUCAAAUUUCAUAUAAAAUUUUCGAAUAAGAUUUUCGAUUGCCACGUAUCCAUAUUUAUUAUAAAAUUCACAUUUCACUCAUCAUACAAUUGAAAUACUUGUUCACUCAUCAUACAAUUGAAGAUAUCAAGAAAUUUCGAAAAUUGGGCAUCCACUUUGUUUUUUCGAAGACGUUGAGGGAACGGAAUUGGCGGUACAUAUGGCUUUACAAGGGCAGCAGGUUGAGAUAAUUUCUCUACAGUAGCAGGUUCAAUUUCUGGAGAAAUUUCAUCAAGUUGUGCAGUAGUUCCAGCAGUAAUAGACGACGACGACGGCACGUUAGUAAUUUCUGAUGUCUCUGCAGUUUGUUGAUGGAUAUUCUUUUCUUCAUCCAAGUCUACUGCUGUUUUUAUUGGCCUCCCAUUCCAAAGAGUUAUCGCCCUCGCAUGUUCUUGGUUUUUCGGAUUAUUCUCUGUUUGGCUUGGCAAAGCUCCAUUUACUCUUCCUGUCAAUACAUUAGCUAGCUGGCCCAUCUGAACCUCCAAGUUUCGAAUAGAGGCAGCUUGGUUCUGAAGGGUCGUCUCGGUUUUGCUCAUAAAUUGAUUUGUAUUGACAGAGAGAGUGUUGACAUUUCCAGCAAGUUGAGUAAUUAUAUCCUCCAAUCCAUGCUUCUUUUCUUGAGGUGUGAAAUCAGGUGGAGGUCCCUGUACAUUUUGGUUAUUACUCCAUGGAAAAUUCGGAUGGUUCUUCCAUCCUGGGUUAUAAGUGUUGGAGUAAGGAUUAUUCCGUUGUCGAUUAAAAUUAGAGACUUGGUUCACUUGUUCAGAUGGUGAUGUGAAUGGACUAGCUCCACACUCAUUGCCAUGAUGAGGUCCUGCACAAAAUUCACAACUUAAAUUAGUAUACUGAAUAGCAUUAACAUUUAUAGUACCAAGUUGUUUAGACAUAGUAGAAAUUUGCGCAGUUAACGCAGAUAUGGCGUCAAUCUCAUGAAUUCCAGCUUUCUUUGGUGUUGAUCUCUCACUAGGCCAUUGAUAGUUAUUUGACGCCAUCUCUUCCAGCAAGUUAUACGCUUUAGUUUCUGUUUUUCCCAUCAAAGCUCCUCCGGCUGCAGCAUCAAUUGUUGUUUUGCUUGUAUUGUUCAAACCAUUGUAGAACGCUUGAACUUGCAUCCAAGUAGGUAGGGCAUGAUGUGGGCACUUCCUUAGCAUAUCCUUGUAUCUGUCCCAUGCUUCAUAAAAAGGUUCCAUGUCAUUCUGAGCAAAUGACAUGAUGUCAUUUCUGAGUUUCGCAGUCUUUGCAGGAGGAAAGAAUUUAGCUAAAAAUUUCUUGGCCAAGUCGUCCCAUGUAGUAAUCGAAUUAGGUGGUUGAGAAUUCAACCAUGACUUUGCCUUUUCCUUUAAUGAGAAAGGAAAAAGCCUUAAGCGAACAGCAUCAUUGGUAGCUCCAUUGCGCUUAAAUGUGUCACAUAUCUCCAAGAAAUUAGAGAUAUGCCUAUUAGGGUCUUCUUGAGGUAAACCACAAAAGAUGGAGGAUUGUUGAAUCAUUGAAAUUAUGGCUGGUCUGAUUUUAAAAUUAUUGGCAUCAAUGGUUGGACGACGAAUGCUCGAUGGUGAUGCCACCACAGAUGGGACAUCAUAGUCCCUUACUGGUUUUGCUUCCACAGCCAUAGGUGAUGGCUUUUCCAAUAUUGCGUCCUUGCCCCUUUUGAGUUUGUUAAGCUUGUGAAGUGUUCGCUCGAUCUCUAGAUCUAAUGGUACAAGCACAAGACUCUGCGAACGUCUCCCAAAACUCAUGCACUAGGUGAAGUACCUAAAAAAACAAAAAACAAAAUUCAAAUUAAAAUUCAAAUCAAUCUAUAUCGAUAUUAAUAAAAUUUAAAACACUCUCCGACGGCGGCGCCAAAAACUUGUUGUGAUAUUUAUUGCAAGCGCACAAUUCGCACAAGUAAUAUAGUGAUGAGUGAAGUGUCGUUCCCACGAAGAGUGAUUUAAUUUAACAAGUACCGAUUGUGAUUAACCCAAGACUUUAUUUGAACAAUUGAUGAUGAGAUUUGAUUGAUUAAUUAACUAAAACAAUGAAUAAAAACAAGCGUAGAAAAAUAAAGUAGUGAGAUUCAAGUUAUGAGAGCACUAGAGCUUCCGAUUUCACCAUAGCCAAUUCUACCCAAUUCCUUUAGCAUGUUAAUCCUAAUUAUUCUCUAUGUUGACAGUUGAUUUUCCCUACUUUAUUCGAUACUCCAUCCCUGGUUAUACCAAAAGUAUUCUUAUUACCAACCCACUCUAUCCCUAGUAAUGGAAUUAAGAUAAUAAGAACCCAUUAAAUUCCUUGGAAAACCUACAAAACAACCACAUAAGUCAUGACAAACAUCUCUGUCUAAUCAUGUAACUCAUGACAUCUAUUACAAGAAGCAACCCCAAAUUGGAUAUUCCUAUUUUCAAUUUAGCAUCAAAACAAUUAAAUGUUGGCCAAACAUUCAAAGCAUUAAGCAUGGUAAUAAAUACUCAACAUGGAAAAAAUACUUGGAAUUAACAUCGACUAAAGUAAUUGAGCAUUCAUGGCUAGGCUACAUCGUAGCCCUAGCAAGAAGAAAUUAGUUCAUGACAACUUUAAUAAAAACCAUGAUAAAUAGUAUCAUAGGAAAGAAGUAACCAAUUGAAGAUUUGAUCUCUGCACGACAGCAACUCUAGCUCCAGGUUGUCUUCUUUGUCUCUCUAAAACUCUCUCAACAAUAGAUGAUGGGUAGAUGAUGGAGGAUGGAUGAUGGGUAAUGGAUCCUUUCAACAAUGACCUAAACUCCCUAUUUAUAAAACUCCUAGAAAUCCUACCUAAAGAAUAAUUACAAUUGUUAUAAAAAUAGGAUUCCUUCUAAAAUAAGGUCUUCUUUAUUUCUCCUUGUUUAACUUGAUAAGACUUGCACCAUCUUGAACUAGGAAAUUUGACAACAUUCCUUGCAACAAAAGGAAUGACUUGGCUUCUUUUUUUAUUGAUUUUCAUCUCCUUGCCUUUUUUAGCACACUUUCUCCUAUUUCACAAUUCCUUCACAAAUCUCACAAAACUAAUUAAAAACAACCAAUUUAAUCCAAGAAAUUAAUAAAUAAAUAAGCAAAGGAGGCAUAAAAUAUAUAUAAAAUAUAGACUUAUCAAAUACCCCCAAACCUGUCUUUUGCUAGUCCUCGAGCAAAACUGAAAAUCAAAAAUAAAUUAAAACAAACAAACUAAAUUAAACCACUUUUGCAGGUAAUCUCGAUGGCACUUAGCAUGUGCCACAAGCCUUUAAACCUCUAGGUGCCCCUAGUAGGAGGAGUUGUGUCUCUUGAGGGUUUACCAGUCAUGACACCCACAGACACUUCUUGCAAAACAAAUUCGUUAAAGCAAUACUUCCAACAAACUAAUAAUAACCAAUGAAUGCUAAUCACAAUUCAAAAACUAAAGUUAUGCCACUACAAAUAAAAUGCACCAUAGUGUAAAGUGUAAAGUGUAAAGCCAAAAAUCCAACAUUGAAACAUAAAGAUAACCACAUUAGGCGUGUGUACAAAUUCGUCUCGACUCUAGGCCUUACUGGAUAACUCUCAAUUUUCUCACAGAACCUAGGGUUGCACUCUUACCCCGCAUAUGUGAAUAAAGUUAGGUGAAGAAUUCAAAAUAUAAGACACAUAUGCAUCCAAGAAUCAAUAAAAGGAAAUUUCUAACAAUAGAUCUCAUGGAAAGGAAAUCAAAUACUAAAAACCAUAGAUGAAGUACAUACCUCUACUUCCGAGUAAGAAGUCCCCAAAAAUCCGUUAGGUCUUUACUAUGGUUGUAAUGAAGGGCUAGGUUAUGGGUUAUGAAAGAAAAGGAAGGAAAUACUAGAACUUGAGACAUGCCAAGGCAUUUAUCACGUUAUAAGGCUCGGCUCUUCAAAUUUACUUCACAGAGGCGUCCAGGAUUUUUGAUAUGCUUCACAUUUUUUUUUCUUUAAUAGAUUUCUCUUUUUUUUUUUCCUUUCUUUUUAUUUAUUUAUUUAUUUUUAAGCACAUAUUUCCUCGGUACACGCCACCUCUUUUGUUAAUUUAGAGAUUAACCUUCAUCCUUGUCUUCAUGCCAUGGCAUAUCCCAAGUUAUAGGGUAUGGCUAAAAAUAGGGUGAAAAGGGUAAGAAAAUAUUGUGGGUGAUGAAAGAAAAGGCUAAGUGUUUGGCUUCAAAGGGUUGAUGGCACACACAAUGGGUAGGACAUGAGUUUUUAUUUAGUGGCUAGAACAUGCAUAGCCUAACAUCAUUUCUCAAGGUCCAUCCAACUCAAAAGUAAAAGCAUGAGAUGAUUCCAAAAUAGAGAGUAGUUCUUAGUAUUCAACUCAAAAGCCUAAUUGAGAUCAAUUUAAAUAAGAAAGAAAGAAAAUAGUGAAUAAGACUAAUCCCAAAUACUCUCUCAAUGAAUGGCAAUUUGGCUCAAGUAUCUCACAAUGGUAGUCUCCACUAUUUCUCCACAAUCAUCCAAGUAUAGCUAGCUUGUCUAUUAAAAUACUUGAAGCAUGGCCAUGUGAAGUGCUAUACUUAUGAUGCAUAAACUUUCAUGGCAACACUUUAGUUAAAGAAAUAUGAUCAAACAUCACAUAUACAUCACUAUUAGUAAGAGAAAGUAAAAGCUUUAACAAAUUUUUUUUUUUUUUUUAAAAAGUUAAAGGCAUUUUGUGAUUUUUUUCAAACAAAUGUGAGUGAAUUUAUGGGCCAUAAUUGCUUAGGGAUAAAGAAAUUUCAUCAAAAGGAAGAGGACACACCUGGAAUAGCUCCUAGAAACCUCUGAUCACAAAUGGAAUGGAUCAUAAUUGAUUUGGAAUGAAAUUAGAAAAUUCUGGAAAAUUGACCUUUAGCGACGAAAAAUCUGAUGAAACACCGUCGCUAAAAACCCUUUUGUGACGAAAAAUCUUCAUAUUCUGGGUAGGUAGCAGCUAGUCUUUUUUGGGUUUUAGGCCACUUUUUUAGCUUCAAAUCUCCCUAAAACGUCAUGUAAAGCACUUGAGACCCCCAAAACAGUUUCAAAUCAUCAUAAUAACCAUUCUAAACAUGUUGGUGGCUUCAAAUUUGCCUGAAAAACAUCAAAAAGGAAAAUAUGUAAAAUUUUUAAUUUUGACCAAAAUAAGAACAUAAUAACCUAUUUUGCUAUUUUCUGGGUUUUAAAGUCAUCUAAUGGCCAAAACAACAUCUGGAACAUGUUUGCAAUCAUCACGGGGCUAGAAAAAAUCGAGAAAUGUUCUUUGAAACACAAAAUCCUUUCUUUGGAACACAAAAUCUUUUUUUCUUUUUUUUUUCUUUAUGACUCAAAACUCAAACAAAAAACAACUAAACUCCACACCCCCAAAUCUAAAUUAAGCAUUGUCCUCAAUGUUUAAAGUAAAUGCAUGUAAAAAUUAGUAAAGGCAUAGAAGGAUGGAAAAUAAAGGGAAAACAAAACAAAAUAAAAUAAAAAGGAACGAAGGUACCUAGUUGGGUUGCCUCCCAACAAGCGCUUGAUUUAUAGUCCCCAGCCCGACUUGCGAGGUCAUCACUUUGGAUCAUGUAGAGGAAUGAAAGUUCGCUGUUGAUCAAAAUUGACUUCCAAGUAUGGCUUCACUCAUUGGCCAUUUACUUUGAAAAUAGUACCUUGUUCGUCAUGCCUAACCUCAAUAACUCCAGAAGGAAAUACUUGCACUAUUGUAAAUGGUCCAGACCAACGUGAUUUCAACUUCCCGGGAAAGAGUCGGAGGCGGGAAUUAAAUAGGAGAACUUUCUAACCAGCGAAGAAAUCCUUCCUUAGAAUAUGCUUAUCAUGCCAUUUCUUUGUACGCUCCUUGUAUAUCUUGGAAGUCUCAUAAGCUUCAUUACAAAACUCAUCCAUAUCAUUCAAUUGAAUUGCCCGUUUUUCUCCUGCUGCAAUCAUGUCAAAAUUGAGUGUUUGGAGUGCCCAAUGUGCCUUAUGUUCGAGCUCAACCGGUAAGUGACAAGCUUUCCCAAAAACUAGACGAUAAGGAGACAUGCCAAUUGGUGUUUUGAACUCCGUUCGAUAGGCACAUAAGGCAUCAUCCAAUUUCAGUGACCAAUCCUUUCUUGAAGCACUCACCGUCUUUUCCAAAAUUCGUUUUAAUUCUCUAUUGGAAACUUCAACUUGUCCACUAGUUUGUGGAUGAUAGGGAGUAGUAACCUUGUGGGUAAUACCAUAUUUAGCUAAAAGAUAAUUAAAUUGACGAUUGCAAAAGUGUGUACCUCUGUCACUGAUGAUGCCACGCGGAGUCCCGAAUCUGGUGAAAAUAUUUUUUUGGACAAAUUUGACAACCACCUUGGCGUCAUUGGUAGGGAGAGCGACGGCUUCAACCCAUUUCGACACAUAAUCAACAGCCACCAAUAUGUACUUGUUCUUCCAAGAUUCAGGGAAAGGUCCCAUGAAAUCUAUUCCCCAGACAUCGAACAAUUCAACCUCUAGAAUAUUAUUCAAUGGCAUCUGAUUUCUGCUAGAAAUAUUUUCAGUGCGUUGGCAUCGAUCACAGGCAGCUACAAAUGCAUAGGCAUCCUUGAACAAAGUUGGCCAAAAAAAUCCAGAUUGUAAUACCUUGGCUGCUGUUUUGGAGGCACCAAAAUGCCCCCCACAUGCCAAUGUGUGGCAAUGUCGCAAUAUGUCUUCCAUCUCCUCCUCAGGCACACAUCUCCGUAUAACUUGGUCAGGGCAAUGUUUCCACAAAUAUGGGUCGUCCCAAUAAUAAUGUUUAACCAAGGAGAAAAACUUCUUCUUCUGAUGAAACGAUAAAUCAGCUGGAAUGAUAGUACUAGCUAAAUAAUUCACAAAGUCAGCGUACCAAGGAGCUUCGGAUGAUCGAAUGGCAUACAAGUGUUCAUCAGGGAACAUCUCCAUAAUGGGUGCAGCAUCAUCACUCAUCUUUACCUCACUGACCAGCCGCGAAAGAUGGUCAGCUACCACGUUUUCGGACCCCUUUUUGUCUCGAAUUUCAAGAUCAAAUUCUUGGAGCAGUAGUACCCAGCGAAUUAAUCGUGGUUUUGCAUCUUUCUUCGAAAGUAAAUACUUUUAUCCAAGGAGAAGAUUACUACUAACAAUUCUUUCUCCGUGGUGGUAUAAUUCCGCUGGGCGUCAUUCAAAGUACGACUGGCAUAAUAAAUUACAUGAAGUAAUUUAUUUCUUCUUUGACCCAAAACUGCCCCUACCGCAUAGUCACUAGCAUCACACAUAAUCUCAAAAGGCAAGUCCUAAUCCGGUGCGACAAUGACAGGUGCAGAAGUAAGCUUCUCUUUCAAGACAUUAAAAUUAAAUUCUACAUCUUUAAGAAGGAGAUUGCAUAAGGGCUUCGUGAUUUUGGAAAAAUCUUGGAUAAACCGCCGAUAAAAUCCAGCAUGACCCAGAAAGCUUUGAAUCCCCUUUAUUGUAGUGGGCGGUGGCAAUUUCUCUACGGUAUCAAUUUUUGCCUUAUCAACCUCUAUGCCUUUAGCUGAAAUUUUAUGCCCUAGGACUAUCCCUUCUUGCACCAUAAAAUGGCAUUUCUCCCAAUUCAAAACCAAAUUGGUUUCUUCACAUCUUUUCAAAACUAAUGCCAAAUUAUGUAAACAAGAAUCAAAUGAUGAGCCAAAAACAGAAAAGUCAUCCAUAAAAACCUCAAUGAAGCGCUCCACCAUGUCCGAAAAGAUGCUCAUCAUGCAACGUUGAAAGGUGGCAGGGGCGUUACACAACCUGAAAGGCAUGCGCCUGUAUGCAAAAGUGCCGAAUGGGCAUGUGAACGUCGUCUUUUCUUGAUCUUCAGGUGCAAUUGGAAUUUGAUUAUACCCAGAAUAUCCAUCUAAAAAACAAUAAUAUGAAUGCUCAGCAAGUCUUUCCAACAUCUGAUCAAUGAAAGACAAGGGAAAGUGAUCUUUCCUUGUCGCAGUGUUCAAUUUCCUGUAGUCUAUGCAGACAUGCCAUCCUGUAGUUGUUCUUGUCGGGAUCAACUCAUUCUUAUCAUUUUUCACCACUGUAAUACCCCCUUUUUUCGGUAGGACUUGAACUGGACUCACCCAACUACUAUCUGAAAUCGGGUAAAUUAUUCCAGCAUCUAAUAACUUUAAUAUUUCAGCUCGCACAACUUCUUUCAUAUUCGGAUUUAAUCGACGCUGAUGCUCAACUGAAGGUUUAAAAUCAUCUUCCAUCAGAAUACGGUGCAUACACAUGGAACGGCUAAGUCCCUUAAUAUCUGCAAUAGUCCACCCUAUUGUCGUUUUAUGCUCCCUCAAAACUCAUAGUAAUUUAUCUUCUUCUAGUUUACUCAAAUUUGCAGCAAUAAUCACAGGAAGAGUUUCAAAAUUACCCAAGUAUGCAUAUCUUAAGUGGGAAGGUAGGGGCUUCAAUGUGAGGGUUGGUGCAGUAAUGACACUGGGUUGUGGCUUGGAGGUUGUGACGCUAAGCUCCUCAAAUUCGCGCCACCUUCCAGGGGGGCGCGGUUUCAUUGCUUCCAAAAAGUACACCAUCUCAGAAAUUUUAGGAUCCUCAUGCUCAGUAGUAACGGAAUGCACAAGGCAAGCCUUCAAUGGAUCAUAUGGAUGUUCUUCUUUAAAUUUUUCAGAGACAACUUUUUCCACUAUAUCCACUCGGAAGCAAGAGUCUGAUUCCACUGGGUACUUUGUUGCUUCAAAGACAUUGAAGGUCACCUGCUCAUCAGCCACUCGCAAAAUUAAUAAACCUUUGUCCACAUCAAUUAAUGUCUUCCCGGUUUUUAGAAAGGGGCGGCCUAAGAUAAUAGGGGUUUCGGCAUCUUCUUCCAUGUCUAAAAUCAAAAAAUCUGCUGGAAAAAUGAGCUUAUCAACUUUGACUAACACAUCCUCAAUUAUGCCUUUGGGAUAUGUUAUGGACCUGUCCCCCAUCUGCAAAGAAACAGUGGUUGGGUGAAUUACCCCCAACCCAAUAUGUUUAGCAAUAGAAGAAGGCAUUAGAUUAAUACUGGAUCCUAAAUCACAUAAAGCUUUUUCAAAGUAAGUGGUUCCAAUAGUGCAAGGUAUAGUAAAACUCCCUGGAUCCUUUAGCUUAGGUGGUAGCUUCCUCUGCAAAAUAGCACUGCAUUCUUCGGAUAAUUUCACUAUCUCAUGUUCGCCCAAUUUCCUCUUCUUUGAUAUAAUAUCCUUCAUGAAUUUGGCAUAACUCGGCAUUUGCUCCAAAGCAUCGGCAAAAGGAAUAUUUAUUUGUAAUUUCUUGAAGAUAUCAAGAAAUUUCAAAAAUUGGGCAUCCACUUUGUUUUUUCGAAGACGUUGAGGGAACGGGAUUGGCGGUACAUAUGGCUUUACAAGGGCAGCAGGUUGAGAUAAUUUCUCUACAGUAGCAAGUUCAAUUUCUGGAGACAUUUCAUCAAGUUGUGCAGUAGUUCCAGUAGUGAUAGACGACGACGACGGCACGUUAGUAAUUUCUGAUGUCUCUGCAGUUUGUUGAUGGAUAUUAUUUUCUUCAUCCAAGUCUACUGCUGUUUUUAUUGGCCUCCCAUUCCGAAGAGUUAUCGCCUCCGCAUGUUCUUAGUUUUUUGGAUUAAUCUCUGUUUGGCUUGGCAAAGCUCCAUUUACUCUUCCUGUCAAUACAUUAGCUAGCUGGCCCAUCUAAACCUCCAAGUUUCGAAUAGAGGCAGCUUGGUUCUGAAGGGUCGUCUCGGUUUUGCUCAUAAAUUGAUUUGUAUUGACAGAGAGAGUGUUGACAUUUCCAGCAAGUUGAGUUAUUAUAUCCUCCAAUCCAUGCUUCUUUUCUUGAGGUGUGAAACCAGGUGGAGGUCCCUGUACAUUUUGGUUAUUACUCCAUGAAAAAUUCGGAUGGUUCUUCCAUCCUGGGUUAUAAGUGUUGGAGUAAGGAUUAUUCCGUUGUCGAUUAAAAUCAGAGACUUGAUUCACUUGUUCAGAUGUUGAUGUGAAUGGACUAGCUCCACACUCGUUGCCAUGAUGAGGUCCUGCACAAAAUUCACAACUUAAAUUAGUAGACUGAAUAGCAUUAACAUUUAAAAUACCAAGUUGUUUAGACAUAGUAGAAAUUUGUGCAGUUAACGCAGAUAUGGCGUCAAUCUCAUGAAUUCCAGCUUUCUUUGGUGUUGAUCUCUCACUAGGCCAUUGAUAGUUAUCUGACGCCAUCUCUUCCAGCAAGUUAUACGCUUUAGUUUCUGUUCUUCCCAUCAAAGCUCCUCCGGCUGCAGCAUCAAUUGUUGUUUUGCUUGUAUUGUUCAAACCAUUGUAGAACGCUUGAACUUGCAUCCAAGUAGGUAGGGCAUGAUGUGGGCACUUCCUUAGCAUAUCCUUGUAUCUGUCCCAUGCUUCAUAAAAAGGUUCCAUGUCAUUCUGAGCAAAUGACAUGAUGUCAUUCCUGAGUUUCGCAGUCUUUGCAAGAGGAAAGAAUUUAGCUAAAAAUUUAUUGGCCAAGUCGUCCUAUGUAGUAAUCGAAUUAGGUGGUUGAGAAUUCAACCACGACUUUGCCUUUUCCUUUAAUGAGAAAGGAAAAAGCCUUAAGCGAACAACAUCAUUGGUAGCUCCAUUGCACUUAAAUAUGUCACAUAUCUCCAAGAAAUUAGAGAUAUGGCUAUUAGGGUCUUCUUGAGGUAAACCACAAAAGAUGGAGGAUUGCUGAAUCAUUGAAAUUAUGGCUGGUUUGAUUUCAAAAUUAUUGGCAUCAAUGGUUGGACGACGAAUGCUCGAUGGUGAUGCCACCACAGAUGAGACAUCAUAGUCCCUUACUGGUUUUGCUUCCUCAGCCAUAGGUGAUGGCUUUUCCAAUAUUGCGUCCUUGCCCCUUUUGAGUUUGUUAAGCUUGUGAAGCGUUCGCUCGAUCUCUAGAUCUAAUGGUACAAGCACAAGACUCUGCGAACGUCUCCCAAAACUCAUGCACUAGGUGAAGUACCUAAAAAAACAAAAAACAAAAUUCAAAUUAAAAAAAUUCAAAUUAAAAUCCAAAUCAAUCUAUAUCGAUAUUAAUAAAAUUUAAAACACUCCCCGACGGGGGUGCCAAAAACUUGUUGUGAUAUUUAUUGCAAGCGCACAAUUCGCACAAGUAAUAUAGUGAUGACUGAAGUGUCGUUCCCACGAAGAGUGAUUUAAUUUACCAAGUACCGAUUGUGAUUAACCCAAGACUUUAUUUGAACAAUUGAUGAUGAGAUUUGAUUGAUUAAUUAACUAAAACAAUGAAUAAAAACAAGCGUAGAAAAAUAAAGUAGUGAGAUUCAAGUUAUGAGAGCACUAGAGCUUCCGAUUUCACCAUAGCCAAUUCUACCCAAUUCCCUUAGCAUGUUAAUCCUAAUUAUUCUCUAUGUUGACAGUUGAUUUUCCCUACUUUAUUCGAUACUCCAUCCCUGGUUAUAUCAAAAGUAUUCUCAUUACCAACCCACUCUAUCCAUAGUAAUGGAAUUAAGAUAAUAAGAACCCAUUAAAUUCCUUGGAAAACCUACAAAACAACCACAUAAGUCAUGACAAACAUCCCUGUCUAAUCAUGUAACUCAUGGCAUCUAUUACAAGAAGCAACCCCAAAUUGGAUAUUCCUAUCGUCAAUUUAGCAUCAAAACAAUUAAAUGUUGGCCAAACAUUCAAAGCAUUAAGCAUGGUAAUAAAUACUCAAGAUGGAAAAAAUACUUGGAAUUAACAUCGACUAAAGUAAUUGAGUAUUCAUGGCUAGGCUACAUCGUAGCCCUAGCAAGAAGAAAUUAGUUCAUGACAACUUUAAUAAAAACCAUGAUAAAUAGUAUCAUAGGAAAGAAGUAACCAAUUGAAGAUUUGAUCUCUGCACGACAGCAACUCUAGCUCCAGGUUGUCUUCUUUGUCUCUCUAAAACUCUCUCAACAAUAGAUGAUGGGUAGAUGAUGGAGGAUGGAUGAUGGGUAAUGGAUCCUUUCAACAAUGACCUAAACUCCCUAUUUAUAAAACUCCUAGAAAUCCUACCUAAGGAAUAAUUACAAUUGUUAUAAAAAUAGGAUUCCUUCUAAAAUAAGGUCUUCUUUAUUUCUUCUUGUUUGACUUGAUAAGACUUGCACCAUCUUGAACUAGGAAAUUUGACAACAUUCCUUGCAACAAAAGGAAUGACUUGGCUUCUUUUUAAUUGAUCUUCAUCUCCUUGCCUUUUUUAGCACAUUUUCUCCUAUUUCACAAUUCCUUCACAAAUCUCACAAAACCAAUUAAAAACAACCAAUUUAAUCUAAAAAAUUAAUAAAUAAAUAAACAAAGGAGGCAUAAAAUAUAUAUAUAUAAAAUAUAGACUUAUCACUAUAUAUAUAUUCUUUACAAAAAUUUAAAGCUCCUUAAAGCCCAUAGAAACCGGUAAAGUCACAGUUUUUUUGACUUUUGAAUAUGGGCAAUACACGAGAAGAUGGACAGUAUUUUGAUAACUCUGUUUAGACUAAAAGCUAAGGACUGUCUAUUAACAAAUAAUUCCAACAUGCAACCUUUUUAAUUAGUCUACUUCCUGAUUGCAGAUGGGGAAGAACUCCACUUAAUGAAGCCCGCAUAGGUGGAAAUAAGAAACUAAUCAAACUGUUUGAAGUUGCUAGAACUUUGUAGUUGUCAGAGUUAUCUAAUCAAUAUCAUCAAGAAAUUAGCUAGCUAAGCAUUUCUCUGAUCAAAAUGAUAAAUUGUCGAUCGGCAAUACAUUUAUCCUUUGAUUAAAUGAUAAAUGUUUAUAAGACUUGGAACAAAAGUUCUGAGAUGUUAUAUGUGUGAAUUUUGUUAGAAUCUUUAAUUCUCUUUUCGAUUUUCUAAUAUGCGUACCUUGGAAAAUAUGAAUUGAACUAUUAUUAUUGUUGAUCUGACUUGGCAAUUCUCAGCGUCAAUUAUUCUUACUAGGCUUGUAAUAAUCAAGGAUCGAGUAAUUAAUUAAUUAAAGCUCUUGAAUCAUGGAAGUAAUGCAUGAAUGCAUCAAGUAAUCCGGAUCAGAAUAGUAAAACCAAAGAAGCACAACUUUUAUUCCCGCAGAUAGUCUUAGCCUAGGUUACAUAAAUUAAUGCAUGAAUGCAUGAGCAGCAGCUGCAUGCAAUAUUAUUGAACCCAAAUCACAACAAAAGGAAAACUUAAGACAAUGCCACUUUCGCAGGGAACGCGAUUGCAUUUAGCGUAUGCAACAAGCCUUUUAAACCUAUAGGUGACCCUGAUAGGACGAGUGAAGUCUCGUGAGGGUUUCCAGUGACGCUACCCACAAACAUCGUAUUAACUUAACAGGAUGAUCAUCCUGGAAGUUUUUCGACAAUGAAGAAAUGUUCAUGGGUGGGGCCUCCAGGUUCUGCAAUGAGGGCAUUUUCGAACUCGUUUCCAGAUUUUGGCUUUAAAAGGUUUCCCAUUUUCUCAUGGUGGAACUUGUAUAUGCCUUCGGUGUACGGUCCUGGUGGUUUCACAACCUCAGGCUUGAAGAGUGUACAUGACCACAGCGUUUUAUUUGGCUGUUUCUCGUCAGCCCCGGCCACAAUCCACGAACUGUCUUGGCUUGCCGUUAUCCAGUAUUUGUCGUUGUAGGUGGAUUUUAUAUGCACCAGACUGGGGAGGUUUACGUCCUUCUCCACUUUGAACCUUGCGUAUUUGCUCUGAACAUCCUCUCCGGAGCAUUGGAGAAUAUCUUGCAUCUUUUCGGUGGCUUGGUCUUUGUAGACCAAGUAUUUACCGCUCGUGAAUGAUUUAAGAGCAAUGAACUUUGGUAAUUCUGCCAUUUCUGAUGAUCUCUCGCUCGCGCUUCAAUUUUUUUUUAUGUAAACUCACUUCUCUCUCUCUCUCUCGUUGCUUAUUGCUUUUCCUAACUCCAACCUGCUGUGCUAUUUAUAAUCAAGCAAACCCAAACCCUGCAUGCAGCUCUGGCUUCUUUUUCUUGCUGUACUGGCCCGCGAUAAGAAAAUUGAAGCCACAAAAAAAAAAAGUCGAGCCAGGUGGCAGUUUUGAAAGGUCAAGUAAUAUUGUUCUUGAUAUAAAACAAACUAAAGCGUGCUCCACGUCUUCAAAUAAAACAAAGUUAAGGCUAGUAAUUAUCGACAUCGAUAUUUUGCGAUAUUAUCGUCGAUAUUGUCAAUAUUUAUACGAUAUGUACAUGGAUAUGUUUCGAAAUAUCCGUGAUUCAAAAAAACCGAAAUAUCCUCGAUAUUUCCUCGAUAUUAUCGAUAUUUCAGACUAUGAUGUGAACUUGAUUAUGUAAUUUCUACUACAUGCACUUAUGGGACAUAACCAUUUAUCAAUUAUAAUAAUGUCACAUAAAAAUUGAAGCCACAAAAAAAAAAAAGUCAAGCCAGGUGGCAGUUUUGAAAGGUCAAGUAAUAAUGUUCUUGAUAUAAAACAAACUAAAGCGUGCUUCACGUCUUCAAAUAAAACAAAGUUAAGCCUAGUAAUCUAUUCUCUGUUGUAAUGUGAACUUGAUUAUGUAAUUUCUACUACAUGCACUUAUGGACAUAACCAUUUAUCAAUUAUAAUAAUGUCAUCGACUAGGACUGAACAGCGACGGCUGAAGGCCCAGCUCAUUCUUAAUCUUAGGCAACACAUGUGCUGGGUUUCAUUUCAUAAAUUCAUAACCAAACCAAGCUAGGUCAUAGAAGGAAGCAAAUUAAGCAAUUGAAAUCCACAUCGGCUGAAAAAAUCUCUCUUGAAAAACCAUAUAAUUGGAGGGUCUGCAAAACUAGACUGUGUGUACGUAGCCAACUUUAUUAAAAUGCCAAUUCAAGUCCUAUGAACACACAUUUCCUUGAAAGUUGCUGGCCAAAUUUUCUUUGUUUUGGUUUUCAAUGAGUUCGAUUUCCUUGAGCAUCACUGAAAAGAUAUUAUAUAUGUGAAAUCUUUUUGUCAGUCUUUGAAUUUACCCAAUGUGGGUGAUCAAUUUUUAUGAUUGCAUUCUAGACUUCUCCUUAGUACAAAACAAAACUACGUGAUUGAUUGAAACGUCAUUAAUUAAUUUAGACAUAUAGGCAUUUGCAUUAAUUCAUUCUAGAUAGUAGAUACACAUCUCCAUAACGCAGAAAGAAUUAGCAUGUCCUUAAUGUGAACUUCGUUAAUAAAUUGAAGAGGAGUUGGAGAACAGUUAGAUGAAUGAAUUAAAGAGGAGUUGGAGAGACGCGGAUGCAAGGGCACACUAAGAAAACUACAGGGUUUAUUUAUAGUUUUAGUGCUAAUAAUGGGUAUAUGACUAAAUAUCUCUAUAAAAAAAAUUAGUGAAUUUAAUCAGAAUGUAAUGACUUAUAGAAUUUUACCUUGGGGCACUUUAAGUCCGUUCCUCCUUAAUAAAGCAUCACUUAAUAGAUUUGAAUUAUGAGCUGAACCCUCCCACCCGCUAAAAACGUAAAUGAAUUCUAAAUCAAAGUUACAAGCUACUGAAACCAUUUAUCAAUUAUAAUUAUGUCAUUAAUUAGGAUUGAACAAUAUGAUUGUAAUGCCAUUUCUAAAGCGUGCUUCACGUCUUCAAAUAAAACAAAGUUAGGCCUAGUAUUUUCUUCUUUAUUGUUUCGGUGCUUAAUGUGAACUUCAUUAUGUAACUUCUAUUACUUGUACUUAAGGGCCAUAGCCAUUUAUCAAAUUAUAAUGAUGUCAUUAAUUAGGAUUGAACAACAAGGUCGUUGAGAUGUUUACAUACUUUAAUUACAGACAUAUGAUAAGUUUAGGAGAGUGAUAUGUAGUUUCAAUUAUUCCUUUCACACAUACCCUAAACUUUAAACCCUAAACCCCUUUCUCUUAAGCAAAAUCUAUCGGUUUUGGGUAAGUUUGAGACACUUGUGGACGAUUGUUUUUAAUUUGGACCCUAUGAAAAUACCUGUAGGAUGUCUAUAUAAAUACCUAGAGAAGGUUAAAUAGGCUAAUUCGAUUUUUGCAAUGAAUAAUAAUCAACUUUUGAAGUAGGAUUGAUAUGAGUUAUCAAUCCUGAAAUGUGCAGAGCUUAAAAUAAAAGAACACACAGAUAUUUAUUUUACGUGGUAAAACCCCACAUCUGGGGAAAAUCCACGGGACUCCUUAGUCCAGAACGAAUCCACUAUAGAAUUGAGAUUACAAGAAGUUCUCACACACACUUAUCCUAGACUCAAUCUAGAUAAUGUUUACCGACUUAUUCAUAACUCAACUUUUGUCAUGGGAUGAUCUUCGACACUCCUUAUGUUGAGCGCAAUAUUGGUCACGAUUGCUUCAAGCUCACCGGAGGAUAAACGCCACAAACGUCUUGAUGCCCUUGACCGUAUGAGUCACUGACAUGCAUAUGUAUGCAAUAUAAAUGAUGAAUGAGUUCGAUAAAUCACCAAGCAACCAGGAGCCCUUGAUGACUUACCGAGAAAAAUAAGUACAGUAGCUUUUCCAAAAAACAGAUUCAAUAUGCUCUCAAAAUCAAUGCGUUGAAAAGCUACACUAUGAAAAGAAGACACCUUGGUUUUAUUCAAAACAGGUUCUCUCACUCAAGAGAAACCUACGUGACCACCAAUCCAAUUCACGAAAGACUUUCAACCUUAUUCAACUACCACACAACAAAACCUGAUGCAAUAUGGACACUAGUUAAACAUGUCAAACAGGAGACCACUCAUACUGUUGAAGCAUGAAUGUUUCUUUUGAUUCAAUUUACAUGCUAUGUGAUGAUGCCAGCUAAUGCACGAUGUGAGGAAACCUCAUGACUUUCUACUACAGCCAAUCCUUUAAAACAAUAUCUACCUAACAAAUUAAUUAGACCGAUCAAGUAGGAAAUAAUAUCAAGAGAUAAAAUAUAAUCCUAUUGAAAAUAGGAUUAACAUAAAAAUACUUGAGUGAAAAUAAUUCCAACUAGGAGUCCUAUAAUGAAUGCAUAAUUAUGUUAUGAUUUACCUGUUGUCAAGUUUCUCAUAUGGUCAGGUCAUGCCUCGGAAGUAUAGGGUUGAGAGAGUUGUGCCAAAGCGUCCAGUAACAUUUCCUCACAAACUAAUUUUCAACUUAUGCUAAAGUCUAGGAAAUGCCAAUACGAUUUUCGUACUAACACCCUACAAACAAAUAAAUUAAAGAAAAAAAAAGUAAAAGAAGAAAAGAAUAUAAAUUCAUAUAUCUCAAUUUCUUGUGUGAAGCUUUUAAAUUCAUUUCAAAAUUAAUAUUAAAAUUUAUUUGUUUUGGUUUUCAAUAAGAUUAAGUUGGAUUUCCUAGAGCAUCAUCACUGAUCUGAUGGCAUCAGAUAAGUCUUUGAAUUACCUAAUGUGAUUGAUUGAUUGGAAUGUAUCCUUAAUACUAAAAAAAAACCAUGUGAUUGAUCGACACGUCAUUGAGCACUUCCACUCUAUCGGCAAGGGCAAGGCAAGAGCAAGAGUUUAGGAUAAGAUUUUUGGUUGCCACUUGUCCAUAUUUAUUAUAACAUUCACAUCUCAAAUUUCAUAUAAAAUUUUCGAAUAAGAUUUUCGAUUGCCACGUAUCCAUAUUUAUUAUAAAAUUCACAUUUCACUCAUCAUACAAUUGAAAUACUUGUUCACUCAUCAUACAAUUGAAAUACUCCUGGUCUUCAUAGUUCGACACAAUCGAGUACAAGGAUGACUCAAUCAUUGGAGGAGGAGAUUCCACCGGAUCACGACGUGGGGGAGUAUUUUCCUUCGAAGGAAGUAAUUGUGCCAUUAUUUUCGACACGGAAAGCACCACUAGAACCGACUACUGACAUUGUUCACUUAAGGAGCCAUGUGUAAUGGUUUUCCUCUUUUUUGUUUUGUCUUGAAUAAUGUAUUAAAAUACAAGAAAAUAUAUUUUUAAAAAUGAUAUUAAAUUGAAUAAAACGAUAAAUUUAUUUUUUUUACAUCGUCACCAAGAUUUUGACCGCUUUGAACGUUUGUCCACGACCAUCCGGUUUCGAUGGAAGAGGCCAUUUGUAUUUUUACACAAAUAAAAUUUUGUAGUAGAAAAUUUGGUGUGGAAAGUGAAAAAUAUUGGAAGGAGAUGAAUUUAUAUGAAGAUUUAGUGUGGAAAGUGAAUAAUAUUGGUAGGUAUUUAUGGAAAAAAAUUCUAGAAUUUUUUGAUAUUUUUUUUACAGCUUUUUUUAGCCAUAAAAUGGGCAACCGUUGAAUUGGAAGACAUUUUUGGAUCGGAGCCUUCAGGAGAAGCUAUGUGCUUGUAGCUGUUGGUUUCUGGCAGUGCUAAUUUUUUUAAAUUAUUGCGCUGACGUUAGCUGCAUGAAAGCAAUACAACGGGCCAGAUCUCCCCAUAGGUCCCACUCCUUACCCGAGCUGGGUCUUGCACGCUGGAACUGCCUUUCAAACCUAGAGCACCCUCCUACCUGGGCUAGCCCCUUGCCCUGGACUUGCUCUAAGACAGAAGAAUUAGCAUGUCCUUAUUAUGUAAACUUCAUUAAUAAAUUUCUACUUUGUACUUGUGGAGGCCCAUAGGAAUUUAUGAAUUAGGAUUGAGAAACAAAGGUUCAAGGGAUUGUUCCAGCUAAUCUUUACCAUAAUAAUAAUAAUAAUAAUUGUUCAGGCCGGCAGCUAAUAAUUAAGUUGGCAUUUUUUUAAGUUUUUUUUUGUCCGGCCAAUAAUAUUAUUUUGGGCCCAAAAUGAAGUAAAGGACUAAAUGUAAAUACAGAAUUGGAAUGUGCUUUUGGGCCUUUUAAGUGGCAUAGGUGGAUCAUAAUAUUGAAGUAGCCCAAACUGUUGAUUUUGGGCGAGUGAACCGGUUCCGAAACCAUGGCCGAUCCUCUCAGUCUUCUUUGCUUUAGCAACUUAUGCUUUGCUUGCUUGGUGAUUAAGCCUAACUAAGGCAAAGCGGCAGCCAGAGCAGCAUCAUUCAGAUUCAGAAGAAGUAGCAAGUAAUUAAGUAAGCUUCAGCCUCACAAACAAAUAUCAAAGCGAAGCAAUCGAAUUUGACAAAGAGAGAGAGAGAAACAGUGAGAGAUCGCGAAAUGGCGUUGCAGUGGAUGAUACUGACGUACGUGGUGGCAGCAGAGGCAGCCUUGGCCUUCCUCUUAACCCUUCCCGCGCCCAAGCUCUUGAAGAAUCAAUUCGUGUCGUUGGUCUCUCUCAUCCUCCAACCUGCCCUCUUUAUCGUUCCAUUCGCCGGCUUUCAGCUCCUUGGUUUGUUUCUUCUUCUUAUUUGAUUUUAUUUUAUUUUAUUCCUAGGGCAUACCAUACCAUAGCAACAAUCUAGCAUCGGAUUUUCCAUUUGAUCUUUUUUACCUGUUUGGGUAAUGGAUUACCAAUUGAUCUUUGACUUGCCUCUUUCUUACUUUCUCUUUUCUUUUAAAUUCUGUGUAGAUAUAUAUUGGAAGAAUGAGCACCGCCUGUCCUGCACCUCUGAGAUCUGCACCGCUGCUGAGCGUGACCGCUAUGAGAAAUCCGUCAGUUUCUAACUACUACUCUCUCUCUCUCUCUCUCGUUUUAAUUUCUUAUGUGAUUCUAAUCUUUAAUCAAGUUGAUGAUGCCUGCAACUCUUCAGCAUGCUAAAAUGAAUUUAUCAAAAAUGAAAUCAUAUAACAAAAGGAAAAUUACAUUUUGAGCAACAACUGAUGUCUCCAAUUUCCAUUCACUAUACUGUUUAACAAAUUUAUUAUAGAAUAACAGCAUUACAAAUUCAUAUUUAUUUUUCUCAAAAUCAUAAUGCCCAAUGACACGCAUACCUGUUUCUUAAUUUUGUCGUCUAAAAUUCUUGCAUAUUCGGCAUUGGAUUGUCUCGUUUCUUCGACUUUUCUUUAGGAUGGUAUCUUGAAUCUUGAAGUUUCUCAUAAUUAUUUCUGUCUUUAUGUAUUGAAAAUUUUCUGCUCUUUAUUAUCUUUAAGAUUUUCUUUGUUUUUGGGUAUUUGCGGAUGAGGGUGAAACAAGGAUUUGUGCUUGUGGAAAUAUUCUGGUAGGAUAUCAAUUGAGUGUAUUUGGAAUAUACUCUCUACUUUUGCGCUGUACAUUUCAUGAAAAACAUGAUAUGUGGUUCAGUUCUUAUAUGUUGCAAGUUGCAGCAUAUGUAGCUGUGGGAUGUCUAAUGAUUGCACAAUGAGCCCUCUGCCAAUCAAGAGAAAUGGAAGAUUCAAGUUCUAUCUACAUAUAUAUACCUUUAAAUUCUAUUAUUCUUGACACCUUUGUUGCGGAAAAUAUGUCAUGCAGAUCUACAAGGCUCAAAGGAAUGUAAUUCUUUGCGCUUCAGCAUGUCUGCUUUACUGGUAUGUUGGCUAGAGAUCAUCAAAUGACCUCAUCUUUUUGUUUUAUUUCUUUACAAGUUUAAGCAAAUAAAAAACUUGAAGGUCUUUACUAUAUUUCUGGUCAUUUGAUAGUAAUCUACAAAUGUUGGGCGCAGGUGUCUUGUUCGCAUAUGCAAAUAUUACAAGGACAUUCAGAAUUUGGAAGAAGUUGAGAAGAGGUGCAAGGAGGAGUAGCUUUUCCCAGAUAGGCUUUUGUUUGGGAGUAGAAACAACCGAGUUCAUAAAUUUUUUUUUCAUCAUAAAUGGGAAACCGAUGUGACUUCUAGUAAUAUUGUAGUGUCUUCACUUUGUGUGGUUAAUUUGUUAGUCAUCAUCUAGUAUGUGUUUCUUUCACCUUUUUCUCGUAGCAAGCUCAAAUAUACUUUUUGUUGUCAACUAUAUAUGAAAAGUAAGACAAUUAUUAUUACUGCUUAGAGAUUUGGCCAUGGCCGGUCUAUUUAUCCUUGAUUGAAUAUAUGAAUUCCAAUCUCCCUUGAUUUGUUGAGAAUCAAGGAUGGUUGCGUGCCAUGAAUUCCAAGCGUGAGUUGAGAUACUUAACCCAGCCUAGAAUGUGCGAGCCUUUACAUGGUCUUCAUUUCAUUGGCGUAUGUUUUGCUUCAAGUUUUGUUUAUACUUGAUCUUAGAUUCAUAGUCGUACAUACCAAAGAAUUCAAUAGUUGAAAUGAGGUCUUCCAUUGCGAUAGUCUUGAGUGACCGAGUCUAUAUCCAAAUUGGGAAUUUAGUCAUCUGUUUACGUACGUAUGGCUCAGCUUUUCAAAUUCUCCAGUAUUGGGAAUGAUUUGGUAUGAAUUGCAGCGUAAACUUGGUUUCACAUACGCCUGCAUUGAUCACCCAGCCCGUCUCCAUCUGAACACCCCGAUGGAGGGGGGUUUAGUAUUUGCAGUAAGAUUUGAUCCACAUUGACCCAUCAUUCACACGCUUUCAGUUCACGACAAUUGCCCUUCAAAUUUCUAAAGAAUAAUAAUGCAUUAAUUCAGGCAUGAUAAUCAACGCACACAUCUGAUUCUCGAACAAAAGCAUCAUCAAGUCAAGGAUAAGGCAAAUUUCUCAAGAGGGUAUUUGUAUGGGCUUAAGAAUAAAUUAAAUAAUGAAUCGAGUCAAGAACUAAGCACACAUUUUCUUUCUUUCUCGAAUUAUAGGGUUUUCUUUAACAUUUUUGGGAAGACUUAAGGGAUUAAAUAAAUAAAUAAAAUAGUCUUAAUAAUCGGAUUUUGCCAAGUGAGAUCAUGCCUCCAAACAAUGGAACUAACCCAAGUUUUGGGCUUGUAUUAUAUAAGCAGAAUAAGACUGCUCUCCUACUGUUUUCCCACUUCCCACAUGGAGGAGGGGCUAACUAGUUGAAAAGAUUGAAAACGAAAACACAUUCUAAAUGUGCAAUACUUUUGACAGCUUGUCGUUUGUUUUUGGGUUUUGGUAGGUAGCAUACUAGCAUCCAUGAAGUAGCCAUGUCCUUAUUAGACGAAUAAGUUUGGGACGUUUUGGUUAGUUUUUGAAGAGGUGCAUAAAAUGAGCUUGAGUCGGUACCAACAAGUUGACAAUCCCUCCUGAGUCCUAACCAAAAGGAUGUAUGUUGAAUGUUGAUUAUUAUUGCAUGAUGCAUGUGGAAUUUUAUUUUCUAAAGCAUGUUUGGAAUGGAACACACAUCAAUCCCAUCCAUCACUGCUUGAUGACUUAGAUUGAUAUAAGCUAUAAAAAUGUCAAGGGCCAAGCCAACUUGUUUGACAUCUCACGCGAACAAGCGUUCAUAUCAAAAUACCAUUUAAGCUUUAUCUAUAUACACAUUGAAAUCUCUUUAUUCAAACAGACAGACUGAAACAUGUGACAUCAUGUGAAAAGAAUGGAAUGGAAUGGAACCUCUGUUUUCACUUCCCUCUAUUCAUCUUGCAGUAUUGUAUUGUAUUACAAGUUACAACUUCAACUUUGGAGAACAAAUUAACUGAUGAAAUGAAAAUUUAAGAAUUAUCAGAAAGAAAAGAAUUCAUAAAUGUUUUCUCUGGACGAAGAUCAAAAUGACCUUCUAAUGUUCUUGAAAUCUACAGACUCAAUGCAUUCCAACCCAGCUCUGUAAGGAUUCAGGAGUUUCAAAAGCUCAGUUGUCUUCUCCUUUGUGUUGUCAUCACCGCAACGAACCUGUAAAACUAACAGGAGCUUCUGAAAUGUACCAACUUGAAGGGCCUCAACAAGAACUCUUUCUUCUUGACUGCUUGCACACUUGCACAGCUUCCAAAUAGCAGAAAUUGAAUACUCAGUCGCCAUUUCUGAUACCCUCAAAAUCUUCUUGACCAAGACAGGUAUAGUGAGAGCAUUAGCAUAGGCCUUUUCCCUCCCAUCUUGGAAAUCGCAAAGACUAUCCAAAACACCCAAAGCCCUCUCACAUAUGCCUCUUUCAGAGUCGACAAGAAUUUCCAACAAUAUGGAAACUAAACCCAUCUCCAGAAAUGCUGAUUUGAUCUUCUCACUAGAUUUAGAAGAAGAAGAAGAUGAUGAUGAUGAAACCAAGUAGAAGACCACCAUCAGUGAAGCCUUGGUAAUCGUCGGAGAAAUUUUCUCUCUGAUGAAGUCGAAAAGUACCUCAUUCACUCCACCAAUCUCCGCCAACGCAUCAACAUGUUUAUUCCGGUCAUGGCAAGCAAGAAGCUCUUUCAAUGCUAAAAUAGCAUUUUGCUUUACUGAAAGAUCAUCACUCAUCUUGAGAAACCAAACCAUGCCGUGCAACGAAGCCUGAGACCCCAAGUAUUUGUGGGCUUCCUCAUCGAAAGCUGGAAGCAUCCAACUCAGCGCAGACAAUAUCUCUUCACAAACGGUGGCAUUUCUCUUUAUGCAAUCACUUGCAAAAGAAUCAAAGGCACCAGCUAGAACAGAGGCCGUCCCAUUCUCCGAGAUGCACCGCUUGUUGCGUUCGCUCUCAGCUCCCCACUUCUUGAUUUUGUGCACACAUUCUAAGCAGCCAUGUUGAUCCAAACGUCUAGCAGAGGCUCCGAUGCUGAAAAGAAUCUCAGAGACCUCCAUUGGCAAGACAGGAAUUCUGGGUGUUGGGACACGUUCGAUGCCGUAGUGCUUGUUUUGAGUGCACCACUCUUGAAUCAUUCUUCUGAGACUAUGGUUGGGAAUCUGAUCAAAGUUUCUCAGCACCUGAUUUGUUACCGGGCAAGUGAAAUUCCCGGCUUCGAGCCACGUGUCAAUACUCUGUCUAUCGUAGGUUAUUCCGGAUGACAAUGUAACCGGAUCCUUCAUCAGGUCCAGCGAUAUUGGGCACAGGAAGUGGUUUGGGAUGAGGGCUUCCAUGUCUAGGUCCCGGGGCUGCUUUUUCUUGGUGCCGUGGCCUGUUCUCCUUCUUGUCCAGCCUAAAACCAUUGCUUGCUGAUUAGCUAGCACAGAUUAAGUUUUGAUCAGAAAAGCAGUGAGAGAAGUUGAUUCUUCUGUUUUUGUUGGUGGUGUUUUUUGUUUGUGAAAAAAUAGGAGGGGAGGUGAUGGGGUUUAUAUACUAAUAAUACUAUAUGUUGUUCCGGCCACAACUUUUCAGGUUUUCAUACACGCGGUGUUCAAAGAUGAGACCAUUUUGCAUAUGGAGAGAAAUGGGAAAGAAUUGAAUAAGUAAACAAAUUCAAGCAGAGGGUUUUAGGAAUAGUACAAUUUGAAUGUUGACCGUUGAAGCUUUGAAAGUUUUAAAAUUAACCGUCAAAAGCGGGGAAGUGGUAAAAGUAAGCUCUUCCUUCAUGGGCCUCAAAUGUACCAAAUAAACGAAUUAUGUUUUUAAAUUAUGAUGAGCUACUUUAAGUAUGGGGUUAUGUAUGAGGAUGAGGUUUUGACGCGUUGACCGAGAUUCUUUUCUUCUUCUUCUUCCGUUUUUUUUUUCUUAAUCUGAAAUUCUGAAUCAGAUAUGACGAACAAGACCGAUAUCUCAGCUGUUACAUUUUUUUCAUUUUUUCUUGUAAGUCUUUUUUUAAAAAUUUAUUUAUUUGAAAACGGAAAAUUACAAGCAAAGCAAAAACCACCAGAACACGCAGGCCCAAACAAAUCGAAGUAAAAAGAAGAGAACAUCAAUUUUUUCUUGUAAGUCUUCAUUGGUGUUUUUUUUAAUUUAUUUUUUUUCUUCGUAGUAUGUAGUAGGAGAAAAGGAAAAACAAAAAAGUCAGUCACCUCAACUUUGUAAGAACGAGUCCUAGGCUCCUCCUUAUCAGACUCUCUCAGCUGCAAAAGGUUUGACUUUGAAGGAGUCAUUGCCCAAAAUACCAUCCACCACAUGCAAAUUGCAAUACAAACUCCAAUGACAUUCAUUUGGCAAGCAAGUUUAAGUACACGCCCCAUUAAAACCCAGGAGGAUAAUUUGAAUAAAUCAAACAUUCUAACCUAAUAACCUUACAGGAGUUGCUUUUUAUUCAUGUUUGAAUGCUGUACAGACAAAAACUCCUGUCGAAAUGAGCUUAUUUUACAAAUCAAUUUUUAAUCAUGUACCUAAUCAGAAAAGAUUGUCAACCAAGCUCGAAAACAAAUCCAGCCUAAGUCGAAAACAAAUCCAUCCUAAGAAUAAAAGAAAGGAAAAGAAAGAAAGAAAAGAAAGAAUUGCAGCCUAACUGACUUCACUACCCAUCCUUCCAUCAGUUAAUCAAAUGGAAGCACAAGGCCUUCAAUCUUUCACUUCACAGUGCUGACUUGCCAGAGCAAGGUAGAAUAUUGGGUUUAUUCUUGCCUGACAUAAGGAGAAGAACUCAUCUCCGUGCUGUAAAAUGAGUCAUCCCCAUUCAUAGCAAAGAAAUUAUCAUUCUUUUCAUCAUCCCACUUAAGGAUCUCCCUUAUGUACUUGAAUGCCUCAUCAACUGAGGUACCCGCUCGAGCUCGGGUCUGCGCCACAAACAACUUCUCACCAGUUAUGGAUGAAUACAGCUCUUUGAAUUUCACCGCCACAUAAUAAUAUGCUUGCUGUGCCAGAGACUGAAUAUUACCGUGGGGCUUAACGGGGCUGAAGUCCUUCAACCACUCACAGACAGACAAAGGAACCUGGUUUAUCUUGGCUUCGAAGGCAUCAUACUUGUUCAGCAAGAGCACAAACGGAGUGUUCCUGAAACACGGAUGCCUCACCAAACUCUCAAACAAAUCUCUGCUUGCCAGCAUUUUAUUACAAAGAAGACCAUUACCCUGGGCCCACAUUUGAUCAUAGUCACUCAAUGCAACACAAAAUAUCACCGCCCUCACAUCUUCAAACAUUUCCAGCCAUUUGCAACCAUCAUUCAAUCCUUUGGAAUUAAUGCGAAUGAGUUGAUACCUGAGACAAGACUCAACCUAGUGAGCAACAGAUUUAUGGUUUUCAUCGGAAGCAACAAAAAAGAAGAAGCAAGAGCACAAGAUAGAAAGCAUUCGAUUGAAGGUGAAAGGAUGAAGAUUUUACUUGGUCAAGGGAGGGGGGCAUUCAUAGUUUUCAUUGUAUAGCUCAGACAUAGCGCUUCUAUCAUCAAAAGAAAAUUCCAUAAAGGCAAGCCCAUUGCUUUGAGUAACUCCCUCAGCAUAUAAAAUGUCAUUCUCGGAAGGCUCAUACUCGUUACUUGAUAUUUCUAUAGCCUGUUGAAAAUGAAACACCAAACAUCCGUGAGGAUAACAACUGAAGUUUGGAAAUUUAGUUGUACUAACGGAAAAAAAAAAAUGCAAUCCAAGCUGCUUUGAAAUUUCUCCAUUUAUUUACCAACCAAUGGAACCACAUUUAUGCCAACUUACCUAAUAUUAAUUUAAGUAAAUGUGGAAGACCAUUAACUAAAUUUGAAAAUACCAUUAGAGGAAUAAUACCAAUUCAACAAAUCUGAUCUUUCAAACAGAAAUAUGAAAUUUGAUAAUCCAGUCUAGUCUUACUAAAUUAAUAUUUAUUUAAUACCCUGCAUUCUGAAUAGAGGAUUCCUUUCAGAACAAAACAAGAAAGACCAUAAAACUAAAGCUGUCUGUCAGUGUUGCACGAAGUAUUCCUGGCAAUUUUGAUCAGCAAUCCUACUGAUGGAUGGAUGAUCAAACCAUAACCUUACCCAGACUUGGGUUAGACUUGUAAAGAACUAAAUAAAAAUAAUGCAGUGGAGGUAAGUUGAUGAGUACUAACACAAGAAAUGAGAGAUAAUAAGAAAGUGGGAAGUCAAAGCAAUCAAGAAUUUAGUAAGGAAAUGUAAUCUAAAAUGAUCACAAGAAUGAGUUAAAAGAUCUAAAAUGGAGCAAAAUAAAAGAUUAAUCUGAAUAAAGUUGGAACCAAAAGAUGCAAGGCCAAAACGAGGAAUGACUAACCCGAUCUAAGAAAUAUUUGGCAACUUCAGGAAGGCAAUGUAAUUCCUCCCUCCUCUUGUAUGUUUCCUGGAUAGCAGAAUCUUUCCAUACUUCAUCUACAAUAGGAGCAUACUCACGUGUAGCAGCAGGGAAGAAUGCAUCCAAGUCUCCCGUUGCCAUGAUAUCCAGUAACCAGUCAGAAAAGUGCUUGAACCUUUGGUUGAUUGCAUAGAUGCAUUGCUCACUUUCAUCAACUACUGUUUCACACAAAGUCAUUUCACAGUCAACCACUGCUUAAGGUUCAUUCAUGCCUACAAGCAGAAAACCAAAUAAGCAAAAUGUUCUAUAUCUCUAAUAACAUGUUGAAUUCCUCUUCAAUCAGUAGGAAAUUCAUAUUAAUGACAAUGGGACGUUAUUUAUUUGAUGUUUACAAUUAGGUUAGACAGUCCCGAUCUCUUGGACUACAGGGGUCUACAAGAUUUGUGGUCAUUUACCGUUGGAUGUAAAUUCAACGGUUCACUCACUCUUGCACUCCUUUUAAGAAACUUUUUUGAACCAUUGGAUUAAUAUCCAACGGUGGGUGGCCACAACAUCUUGGACUCCUGUGGUCCAAGAGAUCGGAACUGUUAGGUUAGAUAUAACAUGAAAUUUCAUCAACACUGACCCCAGUUGCUUGUGUCGAGAUUGACAAAAGUGUUGGAACAGACAGAAAAACAGCUACCUACCUACCAAGUCCACUUCGAUACAACCAACUAAAAGACUCUUAGAUAUAUGCUGUUUCAAAGAUGGAGAUAACAAACAGCUACCUGCCUAAGCGUCCAGUUAGUCGAAGGAACAAUUUUCAUCAGAAAAAGGAGAAAAUGAAAGUCAUUUCAUUAUCUGACCCCCAAAAAAAAAGUCAUUUUCAUUAACUUAUUACAUAAAUAGAGACCUGAAGGAGAUUCUUCAGCAGCCGACGAAGUAGCCCUAUUCUCUGUCAAUGCUUCCUCUUCAAAACGUUCUCGGCCCUCAAGUAGUAUACUUAGAUACUUGUACAUAUUGCUCUGAAUCAUGAGCUUGAUGUUCUGCAGCUCUUCAGGAGUGAACUUGUUUCCAUAUAAGAACUUUGCCUGUUCCACAGAAAAAAGAAGAAUAACAUAAGCAUUUUUAAACUGUAAUUCUAUUCAAAAAGCAUGACAUAGUAUGCUCAUACAAAGAAAUAAAGCUUCUGAUUCAAAAAUAAAUUAAUUAAUUAAGCCCUGGGGGUUUUCGCUAACCGACUCCAACGUAUCAUGCAAUUUGAUUAUCCGCAAAAGGAAAGUUAGUAGAUUAAAUAGACUUGAAUCCUCUUGCUUUGUAAUAUCCUUAUUUUGAAUCUGAACUCUUCACACAAAAUCUAAUCGCUCAUACUAUGCUAAAUGCAUAAAUUAACCUUCCUAAGGUUAACGCCAUCUCUUCUAUACUCUCUUUCUUCUUUUUCUUUUCCCUAUCCUCCCAUUCCGGAAUUCUGCAUCUGGUUCUCCCUUUGUUUUUCACAUUAAUUCCUUAACUCUCAUGCAGUAAAAUCAAGCUUGUGGCUCUGGAAAACACAUAUUGAGUUUUCAUCAUUAGUAAAAGCUUCUAUUUUAUCACUUUCAACAGUGGAGGACUGAAAUAACUUAUCUACAAUGAAUCAGUGAUCGAGAUGAUUGAAUUUCCUCUGCUUCUAGUAUUAAUCUAGAUCCACAAAAAUAUGCAGCAUACUCUUAGCUACUUUUGAGGUUUUACCAUACAUUCUAAGUUCCAAGUUGAGGCUUUUCAGUAAAAACAGCCACCGGUUUCAAGAAAUGACUGCAAACCACAUAAUGACAUAAAGGAAGAUAAGGUAGGUCCACUAUCACAAGAAAGGCAACACCUUUUUAAUUGUCAAUUUACGAAUAUGUCACGAAUCACGAAGACAAGGUAAAUGGAACUAUUAACUUCCCUUUUGUAUUAAGUGAAACAACUUAAAUUCUGAAUAUUCGAUUGUUGAACACUAAACCAACAAGCAUUUGCUCUAGGAACAAAACACAUGAUAGGGUAAAUCUAUACAAAAGUCUUGGUUGACUGGAGCAGAAAUUAGAAAACACGUGAAAUAAAAAAAGGACAAAGCCAUGCUGGCACCCUAAAAGAGGAGGGGCUGGAAGAAAAUCAAAAAGACGCAUACCUGCUUGAAGAUGGUGCUAGUUCCAGAUCCCUCCAAGCCAAAUAACAGAAGUUUCUGAACUCUUCCCUGUUCCAAAUAUUCAGGGACUGACCUACUUGAAGGUGUUGUAGGAUCUUCAUUUGUCCCGUGUUGAUUACCAGGUGGUACAGGCAAUGAGAAUAAUGAACAAAUGAAACGAGUGGAUGCCUGCCUACCAAAAACCAAAUUGCAACUGUAUAAAAUUUCGACUCAGAAUCAUCUGCCAAAGUUUCAAACUCAGACCAAUCAACAAAUAUCCAAAAUUCAUGGUAACGAAAGAACCUUUCCCCAUAUAUUCCCUUUAAUGUUAUUUUGACCUUCCUCCUCAUAAGAUCCAUCAUCAUACACCCAGAAAUGAGUAUCUGGAGGGCACUGCACUUUGGCCAGCUGAAAUAUAAAAGGCAAGUAAUAAGGUUCAUCUUAUCGCAAUUAAAUAAAUCACGUAGCAAACAUAAAAUUUCAUGCAGGUCCAUGUUAUUGUUACCUUCAGUUAGAAAACUGCCACUAAUCACACUAUUACCUAAUAAACUUACUUAUGAUGGGAGAUUCUAUAGUAAUUAGUAAGGCAUUCAUGUUCAAUACAAACACUUCUUUAACCUUUUGAUUGACAGGUUCACUUUUUCACAGUAUGGUUUAGGGUUUAGAUUUCCAAAUUGGCGCUGGUUUAUUCGUAUUGAAUAUGAACCCUACUGCAGACCGGACUCAUUCAUUAGGGACUUUUGGGGAUUCAUUGCGAGCAUACCUUCAACACCCUACGCUCAGUCUUGGUGAUCUCUCGGCCAUUCAUGAACACUUUGGUGUUCCCAUUGCUUGCAUCGAACCGGAGCUUACCUCCAACAUUCAGUUUUGAACUAAUGAUCCUGUCGGGCUUCUCUCCCUCCUGAAAUCAAAUAAAAUUAACUGUAGACAUAUAAAAACAUGCAACACGAUGCUGUAAAAUGCUCAUCCAAUAUAUAUAUAUAAAAACUCACCUUGCCCCAAAGGCCAGAAUCUUUAUCGUACCAAUACCUCCCAGGCUUCAACUUCUGCGGAGGCAAUUCACAGCCCAAAAUCUCAGCCAGUUCUUCUUCCCUCAACAGCCUCCCAUUCACAACUAACUGCUCGGGUCGAAGCUGAUUGGCAGGGCACUCCUUCUCGGCCUUCAUUAUCUGCCGAAUCUCCAAAGGGCUGCAAACCCUUGACAAGAUCCUUGAACACUUGCCCAAACUCGACCUCUUGGACUCGUCUAUUGGCUGCCCAAUGCAGCUCACACAUUUACGCCCCUCUGGCAUCGACCCCAUGGCUUUAAGCAAGCAAUUGCUACAGAACUUGGCGUCGCACACCAAACACCACUCUCUCUCCUUCAAUCUGUUCCCUUUUCCGCACCUGCUGCAAAUCCCUCUCUUAUUCGUCCGCCUCCCAGGCGAAGAAGCCAAUGCAAUCGGCGAUCCCAAUGGUUCGGUGGCGCUGGAUUGCGGCGACGAAGACCUAUCAGCCUCGUUAUCGUUUUCGUGGUCGUCUUCGUUCUCCGAAUCUCUUGGCGUAUUGAAAGUCACGACGGCCGCUCUCUUUCCUCCGGUGGUUCCGAUCGGUUUCUGCUGGGGAUUCGAGUCUUGAACUGGUAAUUCAGAGCUAAAACCUUGGUCUGCUCCUUCGAAUUCCGAUCCUUCCCUGCCGUUUUGCAAAUCGAGUUGCGACUUCGGAGCCGAAGAAGAGGUCGUGCUACUGCUGCCCGGCUCUUUUACACCAGCACCGUUCCUGACCCGAUUGAAGCGCGAGAGCUUCUGAGCGACCGGCACAGCUACCGGAAUGGAAGAGAGGUCUGAAACCGAAAGGGAAGUUACAGAAGAAGUUUGAAGGGAGUCGAUUUGAACUGGAUCAACCCUGGGGAGAUCGUCGUAGGGCAAGGGAGGGCCUUGGUAUUCGACUGCGAUUGAGUAGUCGAGGUGCUCUUCGUCGGGCAAUGGUGCGCCAGCAGGCAGCAUCUUUCUCA
RNAcentral lists this long non-coding RNA (84179 nucleotides) under Prunus persica (peach). RNAcentral's name for it is "long non-coding RNA (PPER_LNC005542)". The stretch from base 54909 to 55015 matches the Rfam family "Plant small nucleolar RNA R71". Lineage: Eukaryota; Viridiplantae; Streptophyta; Magnoliopsida; Rosales; Rosaceae. The record is from RNAcentral.